This 49931-nucleotide long non-coding RNA is filed under the name Musa acuminata (dwarf banana). Its description in RNAcentral is "long non-coding RNA (MACU_LNC001959)". The record is from RNAcentral. Lineage: Eukaryota; Viridiplantae; Streptophyta; Magnoliopsida; Zingiberales; Musaceae.
GCAAGAGGAAGUGGAGUCCAGGAUCGACAAGGUCGAGGCCCUAGUCGACCGACUGUCUGAUGACACCAAAGACUCCGUGCAACACUUACAGGAUGUUGUGGCGGAACUCACUGCAAAGGUGGCCAUGCUCACAAGGACACUAAAUGCGGGAGGAAGCAACACCCGCGUUGCACCGCCACAAAAUUUGAGGGCACUUGAGCCUCAUGGAUAUGGAGGGGCCAGAGAUGCCAAAGAGCUCGAGAACUUUCUGUUUGACAUGGAACAAUACUUCCGAGCUACGAGGCCCGAUUCUGAAGAUACCAAAGUUUCUAUAGCAAUAAUGUAUCUGAACGGAGAUGCGAAACUUUGGUGGCGAACUCGUUGGGAGGAGAUCCAACAAGGUCGGUGUCGAGUCGACACAUGGGAGGACUUGAAGCGGGAGUUGAGAACUCAGUUCCUACCGGAGAACACAGAGUUCGUCGCAAGAAGGAAGUUGAGACAACUCCGCCAAAGUACCACCAUCCGAGACUAUGUGAAACAAUUUUCUGCACUAAUGCUGGACAUACAGGACAUGUCCGAGAAGGACAAGUUGUUCAGCUUCCUCGAUGGUUUGAAACUAUGGGCUCAACAGGAGCUAAAUCGAAGGAAUGUUACCGAUGUGGUCGGGGCAAUUGCUGCUGCAGAAAGGCUCACCGACUUUGUUUCCUCUGAAGACCCAGCAAGAAGGAAACAAUCUUCAGGCAAUCGCCCUCCAAAACAUUCUCGAGGGAAGGAGCUUGGGGGCGAACAAAAGAAGAAGAGCUCCCACAAAGGGCCGAACCCGAAAGGCAAGGCCUCAAAACCUGGAGGAUGCUUCUUGUGCGGAGGACCGCACAUGGUAAAGGAGUGCCCACAAAAACAGGCACUCAAUGCUUUAACGGCUUCCAUCCACCCCCCCCCUCCCGAUCGGACAAGGGCAAAGCUGUUGCUCUUAGUUCGAGCAAUGCUGAAUCCAGCAGCGACGACGAGGAGUCGCAAGGACCCCGAAUGGGAGCAAUGCGUUUGUCGAACGCUAUGCGGGGUCAAGUGGGGGAGAACAUGAAGACAAAGGUACAAAAAGCAGGGAGUAGUGAGCUGAUGUAUGUGGACAUCAAGCUAAAUGGCCAAACGACCCGUGCAAUGGUGGACACGGGCGCUACCCACAACUUCAUAGCCGAUCAUGAAGCACAGCGACUUGGGUUGACCUUGGAGAAGAGCCCAAGCCGAAUGAAGGCGGUGAACUCGGAGGCCAGGCGAAUCUCCGGGUUGGCGAAGGGAGUUCCCAUCAAAAUCGGGACUUGGAGCGACGACGAGGAGUCGCAAGGACCCCGAAUGGGAGCAAUGCGUUUGUUGAACGCUAUGCGGGGUCAAGUGGGGGAGAACAUGAAGACAAAGGUACAAAAAGCAGGGAGUAGUGAGCUGAUGUAUGUGGACAUCAAGCUAAAUGGCCAAACGACCCGUGCAAUGGUGGACACGGGCGCUACCCACAACUUCAUAGCCGAUCAUGAAGCACAGCGACUUGGGUUAACCUUGGAGAAGAGCCCAAGCCGAAUGAAGGCGGUGAACUCGGAGGCCAGGCGAAUCUCCGGGUUGGCGAAGGGAGUUCCCAUCAAAAUCGGGACUUGGAGCGGAAAUACCAACAUGAUGGCCGUGCCACUGGACGACUUCCAAGUGAUUCUUGGAAUGGAGUUUAUGCACGCGGCGAAGUUGGUGCCGAUGCCGUUCUUGAACUCCCUAUGUAUGAUGGGAGGCGAUGACCCCUGCAUGGUUCCCGUCUCUCGGAGAGGAACUAAGGAGCCCCAACACAUUUCGGCAUUACAACUGAAGAAAGGGGUGCGAAUAGGCGAAUUGACAUUUGUGGUUGCUAUGAAGCUAGAGCCACUCAAUGAGGAGGCCAUUCAAGAACCUGCUGUGGUGGCGAACGUCCUAAAAGAGUUCAAAGACAUUAUGCCACCCGAGUUGCCGAAGACUCUUCCACCAUGCAGAGGCGUGGAUCACAGCAUCGAGCUGGAGCCAGGAAGUGAAGCCUCCAGCGAGACCACCCUACCGCAUGCCCCCGCCAGAGUUGGCAGAACUCAGGAAGCAGUUAGGUGAACUGCUAAGCGGUGGUCUCAUCCGCAGCUCUAAAGCANNNNNNNNNNNNNNNNNNNNNNNNNNNNNNNNNNNNNNNNNNNNNNNNNNNNNNNNNNNNNNNNNNNNNNNNNNNNNNNNNNNNNNNNNNNNNNNNNNNNNNNNNNNNNNNNNNNNNNNNNNNNNNNNNNNNNNNNNNNNNNNNNNNNNNNNNNNNNNNNNNNNNNNNNNNNNNNNNNNNNNNNNNNNNNNNNNNNNNNNNNNNNNNNNNNNNNNNNNNNNNNNNNNNNNNNNNNNNNNNNNNNNNNNNNNNNNNNNNNNNNNNNNNNNNNNNNNNNNNNNNNNNNNNNNNNNNNNNNNNNNNNNNNNNNNNNNNNNNNNNNNNNNNNNNNNNNNNNNNNNNNNNNNNNNNNNNNNNNNNNNNNNNNNNNNNNNNNNNNNNNNNNNNNNNNNNNNNNNNNNNNNNNNNNNNNNNNNNNNNNNNNNNNNNNNNNNNNNNNNNNNNNNNNNNNNNNNNNNNNNNNNNNNNNNNNNNNNNNNNNNNNNNNNNNNNNNNNNNNNNNNNNNNNNNNNNNNNNNNNNNNNNNNNNNNNNNNNNNNNNNNNNNNNNNNNNNNNNNNNNNNNNNNNNNNNNNNNNNNNNNNNNNNNNNNNNNNNNNNNNNNNNNNNNNNNNNNNNNNNNNNNNNNNNNNNNNNNNNNNNNNNNNNNNNNNNNNNNNNNNNNNNNNNNNNNNNNNNNNNNNNNNNNNNNNNNNNNNNNNNNNNNNNNNNNNNNNNNNNNNNNNNNNNNNNNNNNNNNNNNNNNNNNNNNNNNNNNNNNNNNNNNNNNNNNNNNNNNNNNNNNNNNNNNNNNNNNNNNNNNNNNNNNNNNNNNNNNNNNNNNNNNNNNNNNNNNNNNCUCAUCAAAGAAGGCAAGGCACGACGAUUUUGGGUCCAAGAGGGACUUGUUUACACAAAAGGGAAUAGGGUUUAUGUUCCCCGAGUGGACAAUUUAAGGCGUGAGCUCUUAAAAGAGUGUCACGAUUCCCUUUGGGCUGGACACCCAAGCAUUCACAGAACGUUGGCUCUCGUGGAGAGGGCCUUCUACUGGCCGAAGAUGGGGAUUGAUGUGGAGGAAUAUGUUCGAACAUGCCUUACUUGCCAACAAGACAAGGUGGAGCAGCGGAAGCCGGUGGGACUUUUGGAGCCAUUGCCCGUACCAGAAAGGCCGUGGGAGAGCAUUUCCUUGGAUUUCAUAUCAAGCUUGCCACUUGUAGGGGGACUCGGAUCGAUACUCGUGGUGGUCGAUCGGUUUUCAAAGUAUGCAACUUUCAUUGAUGCUCCCCUACACUGUUCAGCAGAGGAGGCGGCCAAGCUAAUGAUGAAGAAUGUAGUGAAGUAUUGGGGAGUCCCGCACAAUAUCAUUAGCGAUCGAGACGCUCGGUUCCUAGGACGAUUCUGGACCGAGCUGUUCAAAUUGUUGGGGUCGAAGUUAUACUUCUCUACAAGCCUCCACCCUCAGACGGAUGGCCAGACUGAAAGGAUAAACUCGCUCUUGGAGCAAUAUCUCCGGCACUACGUGAGUGCCAAUCAACGAGAUUGGGUGAAGCUGUUGGACAUUGCCCAAUUCUCCUACAACUUGCAGCGGAGCUCUGCAUCUAACAAGAGCCCCUUCGAGAUUAUCACAGGACAACAACCGUCGACUCCGCACACCAUGGCAAUUGGGUAUAUUGGGAGUAGUCCAUCAGCCUAUCAUUUCGCAAAGGAGUGGCAUCGAAAUGCAGAUAUUGCGCGAGCUUACUUGGAGAAGGCGGCAAAAAGGAUGAAGAAGUGGGCAGACUUGGGAAGGCGACCGCAAGAGUUCAAAGUUGGCGAUUUGGUGUUGGUAAAGCUUCAACCAGCAUCACUCCAAUUCUUUAGGAACAGAGUCCACAAAGGAUUGGUGCGCAAGUAUGAAGGGCCCUUCCCAAUUAUUAGCAGGGUAGGCAACGUCUCUUACAAGUUGCAGCUGCCGGCGUGGUUCAAAAUUCACAACGUUCUUCAUGCCAGCAACCUAAAAGCCUACCACUCGGAUCCGCGAGAUGCUUCCUGAAAUGUUCCAACUCGGCUACCUCCCAUCACAGCCUCCUACGAGAAGCGAGUGGAAACCAUUCUGGCGGACCGCAAGAUAAAGCUACCCAACGGAGCUGAGCAGACAGAGUACUUGGUGAAGUGGCGAAAGCUUCCCCGAACUGAAGCCAGUUGGGAGCCUGAAGACGCCCUGCGACAUGAAGAAGAAGUCAUCAACAACUACCAACAAGCGUCGACGAGGGCGUCGACAGUUUAAGUGGGGGAGAAUGUCACGAACGGUCGUCGCGCACCCGCAACAACUCUGUUCAACGAACCGUUCGUCGCUCACACCUGCAUGUACAGCUGCUUGACAGCAUGUUUUCUCUUGGUUUUGGGUCAUUUUGCUUGUAAAAAUGUAAGUUCGAACAAGCUGCAGCGUUGCAAAGCGAUCGCUCACCGAACCGAGCAAAACAGCCCCAAAACAGCCCAAAACAGCUCCGUUUUCGCGUGCCACGGGAGGGUUGCGGUAAUCUGCCUCCGCUCACCAAAACGUCAGCCAUCUCAGCCCCUUUGAACCCCCCGGGUGGCACAGGGCUGGAUGGGGCUUCGGUUAUAUACCGGGCGUUGAACUCUCUUUCGUAAGUUCGCACGUGGUCUUUACGGGAACUUGUCUUCGCGCCCGGGACCAGGUGAGCGGCUGUUUGUGGGCUUGCAGCUGUUCGUUCAUCCUUCUAAAGCCUUGUUUUCUCCCUCUCCCUCUUUUCUCUUGUGCAUGCAAGGUGCUCGCUGAAUUGCUUGUAAAGCUUCCCCUUUUCGUGAGAUUUCGGGACUUGUCAAUUGCUCGUUCUUUCAAACUAACCAACUUUCUCUUUUACAGGUCCUUCGGGACCUGCGAGAGGUUACAAGUGGGCUGAUUCUUGCGGAGUAAUAUCGCAAGGGCGAAGCGCGACUUAGGCAACGCAAGCUAAGUUCGCGUCUUUGCCGCAAGGGUGACUCACGACUUAGGCAACGCAAGCUAAGUUCGCGUCUUUGGCCGUAAGGGUGCCUCACGCCUUAGGCAAUUCCAGCUAAGGCCGUGACAAUACGGCAAAGGUGUAUAAAACAUUGCAUAUGGAGUUUGAUGUAGUUGAAUAUUGUCCUGCCAUCAGUUUGAGAAUAUAUAGAACAAGAUGCAACAUCAUAUCUGACAUCUGUGGCUUGCAUGAUAUUGUGAUUGGAUAUGCAGUUGCUUCAUAAAUGUUAUACAAAGUUAUCAUUCUGGCUAUCAACCUUAUAUUUCUACAUAAGGCUAAUUAGUUCUUACGUAACAUGGUUAUUAGGAAUGACACUAGAUGCUACUUCAUUUCAAGGAAUAAUAGAAGCCCCUACAGAAUUUUUUUACUGUAGAGUUACAGAAAAAUAAAAGAUUGUCUAACAUGUUUUAGGACUGAUAGAGGCCUGUUAUUUAUAGUAUUCUAGUAACUAUUCCCAAAUUACUAGCUAAAACAUUAUAGAAACAAAAACUCCUUGUGACGGAGCAGUCUUGGCGUAUAUUUUCUCAUGCUGUCGGUGUUCUAUUUUUUCAUUGCAGUCCCUCAUCAGUGAGUUAUUAGGGAGCUGCUAAACUCCCUAUCUGACUUGAGAAUGAUAUCCAAGUUCUGUGGAUCUUUUGCAUAUGUCAUGAGAGACGUAGCUUCUGAGCGAGUCAUGGUCAAUGCAUGAGACAGCACUAGUAGGGCUUGAUAUUGAUGAGAUGGACCGGUGUUUGUAGCUGACUCAAUGUGAUAUAAGAGUCGUGUCUAGCAAUUGUGUGGUGGAAAAGGUGUGGGCCAUGUUCAGUGAGCACUCCUUAAUGAUAGACAUUUAUGACUAUUGGAAAGCCAUAUUUGGAAAGCUUGAUUUAGGCCCAAGAAAGGUUGGCUCGGCUUGCAAUAUCAUAUGUAGUCCAGAGUUUAAGGAAGGUGGGCCACAUCAUUACAUAAUAGUCUUAUAAAUAAACAUGCUUGUAUGCCCAUAAGUUUUAUGGUUGGAUGUUCUCUUUAUUCAUCUAUGCAAUCAUAACACUUCAACUAGAAUUUUAUUUACCAGCUUAUUGUUUUGGAGGUUGUUUCACUUCUUCCAAUUGAAGAAACACAAUAUAGAGGCAUCACUUCGAACAUAGCGAACCUUCUUUCUUUAUUUUUUGGAUAGAAGUUUAUGUUCUUCCUGGCAAAUUUUUUUAUUAAUAAUGGAAGAAAGCAAGUUGAGCUAGAGGUUAAAAGCAAAGAAAGCAUUGAAUAACAUAAAAUUAUUUUAUUUUGUUUGUAGUCUGGAUCAGAUUUUCAGCACAUUGAAUUCAAUUCAUCAGAUGCCUCUUGUUCAAAGUCUCUCAUUGGAAGAAAAAACCAAGAUAAAGCUUCUCUUUGUUUUCUCUUCAUUUUUCCAUGGAACUUCAUAGUCAUUUGCUCGGCAAUGAUAGAAACAUAGAAGUUUGACCUUUUGUCUCUUUUUAUCAAUACAUUACUUUUUCUUUAAAUGCAUAAAUUCAGGACUCAUUAAUAUUUUUAAUAUUGGUUGAAGUACUAAUUUUUAAUAUGAAUUAUGAUUCCAUUAACAUCUUAUGAAAUGAGAUUAAAUGCUUUGUUUGGUUAUAGUCAAGCUCUCAUGUUGGUUGGCUUUUGCAUUUAACUUCCAAAAUCAAAUUUUCAAAUGUAAGUCCAAAUCUAAAUUUGUUCACUGGUGCAGUGGUUCUGCAAAGAAUGGAAGACGAUGGUACUAUAUGCAUAGAGGAUAGACUAAAGGCAUUGGGGAUUGUCACCGAAAAGGUUGAUCUCAGGACAAAAGAUCAUGCCAGUAGUCCUACUAAUACUGUUCUGGAUAUAUAUAGUGGGGGGAAAAUAUCAGUUGAUGUAAAUAUGCCUCCUAAGAAGGUUUGUGUCUCUAAUAUGGUUAGUCAUAAGAUUUAACAAGUAAAUUAUUGAUAAAAAAUAGCCGUGUAUGCUGUAUUGAGAUUAUCUAGCUGUAAAAGCUGAUUGUGUCUUUCUCAUAUGAGUAGAUAAGGGCGCAUAUCUUAUCCAUGAGCUCCAUUGAUGCUUGCAAAUCUCUGGAAGUCCUCAUAUCUGCUUUGAAAAAAAGGUAUGAAAACUUUUACUUAUAUAAUAACUGUUAAUGACUUUAUAGCAACCGUUAAUGACUUUAUUCUUGUAUUUUUGAUGCUUGAAUUUGGGGGUUCUAUUCCAAGAAUCAGAUUCGGUGAUUUCCCAUCCAUAAAAUGAUUUGUAAUUACUAGGCAGUUGUCCCUGAGUUAUGUUUGUUUUAAAUUCUUAUGAACAUUUCUAAAUAUGGAUUGAGAAAUGGGGUGGUUUUGUAACUCUCUUAAGAUUAUUGUUCUAAUAUCAAUGUCUACGCAUAUGCAAUCCUAACCAUAUAAGGAAAAAAUAUUGAGUUCAGUAUUGAUUGAUUUAAAUAUCAUACCUCCUCUAAGCUAUAUGGAGAAUGUGCCUUGUCAUGUUUGCCCUUUUACCUUCUACAUACCAGAGCGAACCCUUAUGAGAGCUUCGGUCACUAAAUCCCUUUUAGUUAAGUUGGAUGGGACGGGCGGUCAGUUGAGCUCCUGAACAGCAUGCAACCAAGGUGGGUUGGAUUAGAUUAAGGGUUAACCAUUACCAGCUUUCUUUAUUAAUGACUCAACAAAAUUUGACAAACUAAACCCCAACUGAAAUCUUGGUCGAAUUUAUUUUACCCUGAAAAGCUGGGCUAGGACUGUUAGGGCUGGGUAGCUUCAUAGUUUUUGGGUUAUAUUGCAAUAUAGAGGUUAAACUAUGGAGUAAAAUUGCUUUCUUGCCUUUUUACUAUAUUAUAUAUGUCAAGAAACCUUUGCAUAGUCACAUGCACAAUAGUUGUGCUUCAGUCCCAAGUCCUGUUUUCCAUUGAUUAACAAUAUACAUUAUUUUAUCAUUUAGAAAAUUUCCUGAUAGCCUAACUUCAUCUUAGUUGUCACCCUUUUAUUGUGGGCCUUGUUUUUGCAUCAUGACAAUUAAGAAUUCAGAAUAACAGAUAUUUCUAGGUAGGAUUUAAAUUUUGAUGACAACUUCCCAUGCCAACAAGUCUCUGGAACACUAUGUGCUAGUGUCCAUGCUAUGCAAUGUGGCAAAUUGACUGGUGUGCUGCUUUAUUGAGGUAAAAAAUACUGCAUAUAGAUAGAGCUUCCAUGACCUCUUAGAAUUCUCUUUUCUAGCUUGGGGCUCGAUCUUGUGCUCUCUCUUGGCUUUGGCAUGAUCUUCUGCCCUCCCCUAACCUCCCAUUCAGUGGAGACAGCAAAAGAAACAGUAGAACAUCAGGUUGUGUGAGUCCUAUCCUUCUCUUAAAACCCUAAAACAAAUGAUAUUGAAGAUUAUUAUUUUACCCUUUAGUUGGACUCAACUCCAAAGGCAAGUCCGCACAUAACAUGUCAUAUAAACUGGAGGUUCAUUCUUGGUUCUAAAUAGGCUGGCCCCCCUUUCUGGUCCUGGUGAUGGCCUUAUCACUCAAUAUAGUUGGUUGCCUUGAGGUGGUGUCUUGUCAUUAAUCUUGGGUUUAUGGUGGCUAAGUUUGAUCCUUAUUAACACUGUUAGAUCUUCUCAGAAUUUCACAGGAAUUAUAUGGCACCAAAAAUUGGUAACUUUGAUGAGUCUCAUCAAAUGCCUAAAAGUAUUUAGAUGACUAUUUGAGAAGUUACUUGUGGUAAUAUCACUAAAUCAUGAUCCUGGUUACAGGUACUUGAAAAGGAAACUUAGAGAGAUUUUUGGUUGGAUUCUGGUUGGGUCGGGCUGUAAAAAUAUGCUAGAAUUGCCCCACAUUCCAGAGCCUCCAGCAUCAGUCACACAAUCCACUAGCUUCAUAAUUUUAACCAGCAAUAAAAUCUAAUUUAUGUACUUCGGAUAGAUAUUAUGACUUCUAUUAAUCUAAUUGUACAACCAGUCGAUCUAAAUUUGGGAAACUUUAAACACAACAGUUAUCAUAAAUCAAUCGUAGAAAACAGAAUUAGUACCUCAAGAAAUAUUCCUGUAUGGUACACACUUCUGAAGGUGCUAUUAUUGUUUCCAUGCCAACUACUUAGGCUGCAAUCACUGUCAAGUGCCAACUGAUUUGUCUACUUAGGCUGCAAUCACUGUCAAGUGCCAACUGAUUUGUUCCUUAAUCCGAGAAAGUGUCAUCUACAUCAUCUAUAACUGACUUCUGCUAGUCUGUCAGCAUCCACCCCAGCUUAUAGUCUAACCUUUUUCAAUAUUUCUGUCGCACUGCUGCUUGUAGAAUUGUAUCACUGGAUUAAAUUGUAUCGCAAUGCUGAUGCCUAAUAAACAACUUAAUUUUUCUUCAACAGUUCAGUCAGUUCCAAGCAUAUUUUUCCGUGGAUAUAUUACAUUCUAGUCAACCAUGGUCAAUUUAUCAUAUCUCAAGAUUCAUCAGUCCAAAUGCUUGACGGUCUACACAAGGUAUACCCAGAUGCAAUCUUGCAUAUUGUUUUCCUGUUGAUUUGUUCCUUGCAUACAAGCCUAUGUGGUAUACCUCUUAGGUUGUAAAUUGUUUAUAUGCAUUCAUAAUUCUGUCAUUUUUCCUUUUAUUUUUUUUAUUUUAAAUCAGAUUAUUUUAAAUUUGAACUUGAAAAUCUUAUAGCAUCUUCAUUUAUGUAAUCACCUUACUAUAAACUGCAAAGCUAUACUCAAAUCACAUUGUCAUCUGUUGGUUGUCCGUUGUCGUCUUACAUGGUAUUGUAUUUUCUGUGGCAGAUGAUAAAAUUGAAAUGUGCGGCUAUCGAACCUUUAUUAAAGCUAUCUGGUAGAUUUCAACUGAUCAUGACACAGGUAGGUGGUACCGUACUCAUUAUAUAAACUAUGCGAACUGUUAGGUUCUGCUAACAUGGUUGAUUCUGUUUCAGAUCGAUAAAGCUGCUGGAAUGAAAGCAUCCAUGGAUGAGCGUCAUGGUGAAGGUGACAAAAUGCUAGAUGAAGAUGAAGAUAAUGUUGAUGCCGAAGAAGACGAUGACGAAGAUGAAGAAAUCGAUGAAAUGGUGUACGGAGAAGACGAAAGCGGUAGUGAUGAGGAUGACCAGCAUCAGACAUGAACAGUAGCUGCGAAGUUUUUGUGCCUGAAUCUUUUAGAUCGGGCCACAUUUUUGUAUUCUUGUAUCUGAAUAGUGAGCAAUGAUUCUAAACUUUUGUAUCCUUGACAACUUACAAAGAAUUUGUUAUAAUUUAAUUGUGAUAUUUUUCAUGGCAAAUUUGCUGAGUUGAGUUAUUGUUGAGUCUCCUGUGGCAAUUGAGUUUACGCGUACAGCUUCUGUGAUCUCAUGGUAUUCCAUUGACUGGUUAGCUCCAUGAUAUCUAUCUAAAUUGGUAAACGAAUCACCCGACUUUGUCCACCAGAAAAAGUCAACUACUCUUGAGUUUAUCAGUCGGAAUUGGCCAAGUUUGACCUCAUGGCUUAUUGAUGUGAAGGCACAGAGUGUAAGCAAUUUUGUUGCAUACUUUAUAGUUUCUAGAAAAAAUAUGUUUCUAGAAACAAGUUGACUUUAAAGGGCAUGCUCAUGUUGACCCAUAUGCUAACUUCAAAGUUGUUGCCACUGGACUUGUUGCUGAAGAUAGGGAAAAACAAAAACAUAAAUCAUGGAACUUACAACUUCAAAGUUGUGGAGGAUGAUUUCAAUUCUUGUUUUUGUUUUUGAACUGUACUGAGCAUCAAGAUUCAAGGCCUUGUUGAUAACAUCAUUAAGGAGGUCAAGCUGGCCAUGUUGGACCGACGUAGGGGGUUUGAACCUUUAAAUUCAACCUAGUUGAAUGAUUCUAUUCAACGUAGUAUUUGUUCCGAUUAAUAUAAACAAUAUCUGAUUAGUAUUUGUCUACCUGAAAAAUUGUAGCAAUGAAAUUACCACUUGAUGCAAUUACUGAAUCAGAAAAGGGGGAAAAAUAAUAAUUAGGAGAUUGUGUCUUAUAAAUUUGGCAUACAAAAUACUUUUUCAUUUUUUAUUUAGGGAGAAAUUAGUGAUAUGUUAAAAAUGAUUUCUUGUUCAUUGAUAAUGCAGCAUAUAAAGUUUGGAGCAUAAUAUCUCACAUGACAAAGGAAUGCAUGUAAAACAUUGAUUUCCAUAUAAUUAAAGACUAUAAUACAUUAUUUUCAUACAGAUCUUAAUCUUCUCAUUUUUCUUAUCAUAACAAAAGAUAAGACAAAAUUUGCUCCUUUUAAAAAAAAAAAUAUUUAUGAAAAUGAAAAUUGAUCUUUUUUUCUUUUCCAAAAAAUAUUUUAUUUAAAUCAAUUUUCUUUUAUUUUGACCAAAAGACUUUUUCAUCUGAUUUUUCUCUUUAAAAUAAUAUUUAAAAGAAAUGUUAAAGUGCCGUAACGCUUUCCAUUUCCCCUUCCUUCCUUCCUUCCUUCCUUCGCCCUUUCCGCCCGUCUUCCUCCUCCAGUAAUAUUCACAGCCAUUGCCGGCUCUCCCUCUUUCUCUCUCGCUCUCUCUCUCUCUCUCUCUCUCUCUCUCUCUCUCUCUCUCUCUCUCUCUCCCUCCCUCGAUCCCUAAUCGAUCGACCGAUGCGAACAUCAGCAUCGGAAGAGAUCGCUGGGUAGGUAGCAGCGAUGCCGAGCGUGGCCGUGAAACUCUACAGCAUCAUCUUCAAGAUCCUCCUCAAGCACAAGCUCCAAUUGCUCCACCAGGCGGCGAUUGAGGGCGCGACCAGCCCCUUCGGCAUCACCUCCCGCCCCGACGAGUCCGCCGUUCCCGCCAACCCGUCCUUCGGCCCCGACGGCGUCGCCACCAAGGACAUCCACGUUGACCCCCUCACCUCCCUCUCCCUCCGCCUCUUCCUCCCAGACUCCUCCCUCGACCGCGCCCCCCGCGACAACGGCGGUGCCUACGGGGGAUACCUCCCCUCCGUGGCCGACGCGCGUCGCCGGUCGGCCGGGCCUCGGAAACUGCCUGUGGUCCUGCAGUUCCACGGGGGCGGGUUCGUCUCCGGGAGCAAUACGUCGGCGGCCAACGAUUUCUUCUGCAGGAGAGUCGCCAAGCUGUUGGAUGUGAUCGUGAUCGCCGUCGGGUAUAGGCUGGCGCCGGAGAGCCGGUACCCUGCGGCUUUCGAGGAUGGGCUGAAGGUGCUGUAUUGGUUGGGGAAGCAAGCGAAUCUGGCUGGCUGCAUUAAGUCGAUGGGGCGCGCAAAGGGAGGUGGCGGUGGGGACAUUAGCAAGUCGCAGAUUGCCGAUUCCUUGGGGGCGUCAUCAGUUGAGCCGUGGUUGGCAGCUCACGGUGAUCCUUCCAGGUGAUCAUUUCAUCUCUAUCCUACCUAUCUCUAUAUAUACUUCCAAUUAUUUUUAGUUGUAUGCUCGGGCUUGGAUGGUUUACUGCUAAAGUCUUGCAGAUCUUUAGGAAAUAGUGCAGAAUAAGUCAAUUGGCAUGCUGUCAAAUGCAGUCACUCGACAGAGUCGGCUAUAUGGAUCCUUCCAUUGCAUAUUUGGAAGCGAUCUUAUUCAAUGUUGCAUAUUAAUUGAGUUUUCAGUUGGAUAUUUUUGUGGUAGAGUUGCUUAAUUAGCUCUUUAAGUUGUCUGUGUUGUAGUGCAUAUUACAGAGUAGACAUAACGUUGAUCAUUGCAAAAGUAUUACACAUCAGUUUCAACAUAGCUCAUCUAGACAAAUUGGAAGAAUAUCUGUUGUGGGUUUAUAUUAAUACAUUGUCUAAAUUGUUAAAGUUGAUUGCUUAAUGAUGAUGUGCUGAUCAAUGCCUCCGCUGAACCUUUUGCAUCUGCAUAGUGCUGAUAUGAGCUUAAUCAGAACUGAGAUCUAUAGUAGGAUUCGAUCUGAGAAUCAACUAGAAAGGUGGCUAAGAAGAUGCAAUUAUUUGGAAGAUAUUGCCCAAGCUUUUAGUUUGAAGUGUGACAGGAAACUUUGGACAAAAAGUAUUAGUGAAUGGUCAAAUGAUUUGUGCUUGAGAUUGAUUGGAUUUUGGAGAUGUGUAACUUAGAGAAAAAGAUUAAGGUGAAUAUCUUGUAUUCAACUUAGAAAGUACAACUUAUUGGAGAAGACUUUCAUGAACGUGCUGAAAAGGAUAUAGAGGUGGCUCUAUUGUUGUGAAAGUUGGUCGAGGAUCCAUGAUUCAUAGAGAUAGGCCAAGCCGUUAGGUACAACAUUUAUUUACCUUCCUAGUUUUUUUAAUUAGCACAUUUAUGAGAGACUUUUGGGUAAAGUCAUAAGCUUCUUAGUAUUGCUAUCAUCUUUUUCAAGUUUAAGUAUUAGUUUUAGUUAUUCUUCAAUUAAGACAUUGGAUUGCUCUACAGCAACAACAACAAAGCCGUAAGUCCCAACUAUUUGGGGUCGGCUAUAUGGAUCUUUUGUUACCGUUUAGAUCGGUAAAGAGUCAUAUAUUUAGUUAAGUUCAAAGUACUUAAAUCUUUAUUUUUUGUUUUUAUUAAGGUCUUUUUAUGUCUUCUUCUACCUCUUCUCAUAACACUAUAUUAAUUAUUUUACCUCUUUUGAUUACAACAUCCGGAGGUCUCCUAGGCAUAGACCUAUAUCAUAUUAAACGAUUUUCUCUCAUUUUAUCCUUUAUCAAAACGAUACCUAGUUGUUCACAAAUAAAAGUAUUUCUUUUCCUAUCUUUCCUAGUAACUUCAUACAUCUAUCUCAACAUUCUCAUUUUGAUAAUCCAAGCUUUUUGCAUAUGCUGUUUCUUAACUGCCCAACACUCAAAGAUUCAUAAAGCAUUGUUAGUUUCACAAAUGCACAACACUUAGAUCACAUUAGAUUGGUUUGUUAGACUGAAAGGAAUACCAGAAGCUCUAACUGACAUACUGCUAUCAAAUAUGACAACCUUUGGCUGGCUGGUUUACUUUCUUUUGAAGCCAUCAUUGGAUUUUUAGAUUGAGUUAGAAAAAGAGUUGGUUAAGGCUUUACACGGUGAGGAUGUUCGGCAGUCUAACAGACAAAUUUUGAACACUAUACAUAACUUUAAGUUGAAGAGAAGAAGAUUUGGUUGGGCUUAUUGCCCUUUUAUCUCCUCUACAUGUUGUUUACUCUCAUCUAUCUUUAAUCUCUAAUUUCAUGGGUUUUUUUCUCUAUUGGGACAUUGGUCCAGCAGAUUUCUGUCUUCAAUCGUUUUUACUCUGUAUGCAGUUGCGAUCUAUUUGUAAACUUCAACACAGAUGUGAAUAAAUGGCAUUGAGCACUGUUAUUACUCUGUGAUUUUUUGGGGCGAGGAUUAUUUAACAUAAAUUCGAGUAAAUCCGAUCAUCAAUUUCUGGGCAUUGUGUAAUAUUUUGGGGCAUUUUUGGGUUAUUGAUGACUGAGAAUUGUGAAUGCUAUUGAGUACAUUUUUCAAAUUACCUAAGUAGCUGACUGUACUAGUCCAUGACGCUUUCACCAAUAAGGAGUUUAAGGAAAGUCGAUAUACACGGUCUUAUCUCUAAUUAUUUAUUUAGAAACUAUUUCCAUGGUACGAACACUAGUCUCCUAGGUCGCAAAAGAGCGAUCUUACCGUUGUACUAAGGCCCACCCUCCAAUGACCUAAAAUCGAAACUUGUUCAGCAGUUAUUAUGUAUCGACAUUUGGAAUUACAAUAUUUGUUGGUCAUUAGAUUUAGGUCAUGGUAGGAAUGCCAGGCAGUAGGAUCAAGAAAGUGGGUAGGAUGACUCAGGUGGAUUGCCAAGCUGGUGGCAUUUCCAAAACUGACAAUUUUAAAAGGCAUGUAUCAAAAUGUUGUUUAUUCAGUUCUACAUGAUAUUACCAUGCUUUUUGUAAUUUAUUGCACUGUUCGAUGAGAACCAUGUGUGUGUCUGGCAUCCAUCCGCUUUUUUCAUGUUGGGAAGAACCAUAUCAUAAAAAGUUCAGCAAGUUCAGAUUUGUACUUGUGUAACGAAUUUGUGUUCAUCUCAUAGUUAUGUGGUUUCCUGGUUUCUGUAUCUUUGUUGCCCUUUUAUAUUUUUGUAUUUUUAGCUGUUGCAGCACUAUGCUGCUUUGGAUUUAGAUUUUUGUCUAGAAGUUUCUGAUUUUCACCUGCAGCUGAUACAUAUCGGUCAUCUUAAAAUUAUCCACUAAAAUUGUUGGCCCACCUCAAUUGAUAUGAUGACCGUUAUUCUUUAGUGACGCUUCGACUUCAUAGUUAAACAAUGGCUAUUGCAUUGUAUGCUAUCAGAGAGUUUUGGUUCCUCAUUCUUCUGGGCUUAUUUUUGUAUGAUAAUCUGUAUCAUUGACCUAGUUGACAUAGUCUAUUUUCAUUUUUGUUGAAACAGAUGUGUUCUUCUUGGUGUGAGCUGCGGUGCUAAUAUUGCUGAUUUUGUGGCUCGAAAGGCAGUUGAAGCCGGAAAACUUGCAGAGCCAGUUAAGGUUGUUGCCCAGGUCCUGAUGUAUCCCUUCUUCACUGGAAGUGCACCCACACGAUCGGAAAUAAAACUAGCAAACUCUUACUUCUAUGACAAGGCCUUGUGCUUGCUUGCUUGGAAGUUGUUCUUACCCGAGGAGGAGUUCAGUUUAGACCAUCCGGCUGCAAACCCUGUUGUUUCUGGGUGGGGACCACCAUUGAAAUGCAUGCCUCCAACCCUCACUGUGGUUGCAGAACAUGACUGGAUGAGGGAUCGAGCAAUUGCAUACUCCGAGGCGCUCCGAAAAGUGAAUGUUGAUGCACCAGUCCUAGAAUACAAGGAUGCAGUUCAUGAGUUUGCCACACUGGACAUGCUCCUCAGGACACCUCAGGCACUAGCCUGUGCUGAUGAUAUCGCCAUAUGGGUGAAGAAGUAUAUAUCAAUACGCGGACAUGAAUUCUCAUAUUAGUUCUGGCGGUUUUAUGGGACAUCUUGCUUUUUCUUUAACCAGGCUGCAAUUUUAGAUGAAUCUGAGUAUCCAAUUUGAUGAGUAGAUUCUUUCAUGAUAUUUCUGUAUGUGGCAACUUGCAAGGCUAUGGCUCUGUUGGUUAUCAUGCUUUUCCUCGUAGCUCUCAUUCUUUUAUUUCUUUCCAUAUUUCCUGUAAUAUAUAGUCAUGUAAACUGUAGACCACUAAUAUAAUAGCAAAGUCUCUCCAAUUUCAUUUCUGGCACCCUUUGAUUCUUCCCCAGUGAAUGAACCCUUCAGUGGGGAUAUAUUCUCUGGUGGAAGGCCUCAUAAACCUAACAGCCCUAGUGCCUUCAAGUUUGAGAGUAUAUGCUUUCUAGUUCUUAUUUCUUUCUUUUCUUGUGAUUGAAACUUGUCGCCACGGGAACCUGGAAGUGUAUUUUGUGGUCAGCGAGUUGAGGUGAUGGUAAAAGCACUUUUGCUCAAUCAAAAGCUGGUACUAAAUUACUAACGCAGAUGAUUGAUGUGUACUAAAUUACUAAUGCAGGGUGACUUGUCAUUUGGUCUGUCUGAAGCACAAGAUGUCUAAUUCCAUCUGUCUUGGCAAAUUAGACAUUUACUUCAGUUUAUUUCUUCACGCAUUAGGUGUUUUUCCCUUUGUGCAAUUUAUGGAUUAAUAGAGUCUGUAAGACUGUGAUAUGUUAUUAUUGCAUUGAGUUAGAUCUUUUUUCCUACAUCUUUUUGUUCUUAUCUCGCUUACAAACACAAAUUUGAAAGGCUAAUGCCGAUGUUAAUUCUUUUCUUUUUCUUUUUCUGUCGUUCUCGACAAAUCAAUCAAAACCUCCUUGGAGUGUUGCUAGCGUAUAAAUCUUUAGUUAUAGUUUUAAGUAGAUCCUUUUAUGUGUUUAUAGUACUGUCACCGAGUCAAUUGGUUUUACCUCAGUUUUCGUUAUGAAUUCCUUAAAGAUCUAUAAAAGAAAAGAUGAAUUAGAGGAAUUGUUUAAUUUGGGAUCCAAUAAACAGUUAUUUUAGUAAAUACUUGAUAGUCAACGUAAAUUACAAAUAUAAAUUUCGCAAGCUUUGAAUGAUUAUGCGAUAACGAAUCCAAGGUGGUUCGUCGUGACCUUUAUAAGUUUUCAUAUGAUAUUACUAUGGAACAAGGUAGCAAGCUUGCCCUAGAUACUACCCUAAAGGUUUAUCCAACCAUGUGCCACCUAGAUAACUCUUGGGUGUUGGACCGACGGACACUCUAUAUCACUCUACGGAGCUAGAAAACCCUUAAAAUAGUUACCUGAAUGGUUUAUUUCUAGAUAGUUUUGCCUCUGCAUGAUGACUACACACAACCUAUACUUACAAGAUUGAAACGACUACAAAAGCCAACCAAAAUGGGGUUACCAAGCUUACUAUAAGCCAUCGACAUAUUGUGCAAAGCAUAAACAAAACUGAAAGAUAUGAACAUACACAAGUAUUCCAUUGAACACCUUAUUUACAACUUUAUCUGUAAUAUUCUUCGCUACUGAUUCUUUCGACAUCCUUGUCCUCACCUUUGUGGACUUUGCUCAUUACCUUUGCUGAAUAUUCAAUCUUCUACUCUAUUUGCAACGCACCUCUUGGCUCCUAAUUGCUCUUCACUGCGGUUGUUAAGUAAUCGAACUUUGAUCCGCUAACACUACUUCAACUCGACAAUGAUUUUUUACUCUAGUGUGAGGUCGAUCGAAUUGUACUAAUCUUUAUUAGUUCUUGCAGAUCCCUCCAACGAAGGAAAAGACAUUCAUUGUUAUUGCUAGUUAUAGGUGUCACGCAAGCCAAUCACAUGAGUGAUGACAUAUGUGACACGUUGCAUAAUCUUUAUUAUUAUUAUUAUUAUGGUAUUUUAUCAUUUUACAUUGAUAAUGAAUAUAUUAUGAUAUUCUUGGAUCUGUCCAAUAGGAAUUGGAUCAUGAUGGGAUCAUGAUAAUAAGAUCAAUUUACCUAUAAAUACAAACUCUAAAUAUUCAUGAUUAUAGGUUACUCAAGAGGGGCAUCAAGAUAACUGAAUAGACCGAUGUGCUAUAUACCCAUCCAUAUGAUGGAGGCAGUUAGUCUCAUAACUGCUUGUAUGGGGACACUAAGGAUAUAGUGCAGGUGCUCAUUAGAGAAUGAGUUCACUGAAUGAGUCGCUUACAGAAUGCUGGUUGAUUGAUGAUACAUCAUCGUCAGAUAAUGAUUCUAUAAUCUCAAUUGUGUGUCUGAUCCUUAGAUUUGAGACACCAAAGAUGUCCUCUAUGAAUACUCCACUCUUUGAUACCAAACUUAUAGGUUUGAAAGUUCUAAAUCUAACAUAGUUGAUCAUCAGGAGUGGUAGCCAAUCUUACGAGAGUAAUUAGAUGUCAAUAGUGUAGGAAAAUCUAGGGGUGACAUUACAUAUGUAGCGGAAGAACAGAAAACAAAAACCCCAAAUUUUUCAAAAAGGUAUUCAUCGUCGUGCGACGAUUAGUGCACAAAAUCCACGAAACUAAAAACCACACAUGAGAUAGUUGUAUUACCUAGGGAGAUUAUAUAUCCUUGAAUCCCUACAUAUUUGUAGGAGAGGAUGGAGGAGGUCAAGCAUCCUCCUCUCUAGUGGUGAUCCACAUAGUAGAGCUACGACGAUGCUCCUUAAAUCGUUGUUCAAAUCUUCACACCUGCUAUCUAAGGAGGAGAAUGAGAGAGGAGAAUAGGAGGUGGCAACUAAGAAAACUCUAACCUAUGAGCCUUUGGUUCCCUCCUAUUUAUAGAGGUCUAAUGUCAACUUAACCUUAAUGGAUCCUUCCCUAUUGGGUACUAAAUCUUUAUUCAACUACCCAAGCCACUUAGAUUAGUGAAUUUCUAUUCAAUAAUCUCUCGUUAGCUCUUAUUGGAUCUCAUCCAUAGGAUCCAAUAAUUCAAGGGCUUAUUGGAUAUCCAAUAAGAUAGGGGCUCCGGCGGAUAUCUCAUAUCCAAACCUUUACUCGUCAUAAUGCCUACCAUAUGUGUGUGACCCUCUAUAUCCAAUAUCGAGCUGAUUGUGAGUCAUAUCUAUCAAAACUCAUUCUGGCUCAGUGAAUUAUUAUCUCCAUAAUAAUUCACUUGACUCAUCGAUUACGAGCGUACUAUGCCACUUCGCCAUAGACCCCAAACGAUAUAGGAGAAUCCAAUCCAUUGGACAUGUCUAUCCUCAAUUAUCGUGCAUCUAUAGUCUCUCAUCCAUCUAAUAUCCCAGAGACCAUAUAUUGAGCAUGGUGCUAUCAUACCCAUGUGGUUUAUACUUGAGUCUCACUCUAAUCGGAUUCUCUCGGAGAACUCUUUCUCUCUCAAUCUGAAUGACUCUAGCUAGGGACUUGUUUGAGCAAGAACACAUAGGACAUUCCUCUCAUGACACCGAGAGUGAAUGAGCCUCUAUCGAUACUCAAUAGUCCUCGUAAAGUUGGUUGUUACUCCCAAUGACCGGUUGUGCUAGAUCUGAAACUUUCAGGCCUAAAAGUCUAUAUUAAAGAAUGAAGUAGUCAUACAGGACAUCAUUGGUAUCUCAAGUCUAAGAACCAAGUACACCACGAGGAUAAUAGAAUCAUUGUUUGACAAUGAGAUAUCAUUAAUCAUCCAGUAUUCCAUGAGCGGGAUCAAUCAAUGAACUCAUUCUCCAAUAAGCACUUGUAUUGUGGCCCUAGUGUCCCCACAUGAGUAGCUAUGAGACUAGCUACCUCUAUUAUAUGGACGGGUAUACAAUAUAUCAGUCUGUUUGGUUAUCUCGAUGUUCCUCUCGAGUAACCUAUGACCACGAUUAUUUAAGGUCUCAUUAUCGUGAUCUCAUCAUGAUCUGAUUCUCAUUGCAUAGAUCCAUAGAUAUCACAAUAUAUNNNNNNNNNNNNNNNNNNNNUUAUGUCACACGUAUCAUCACUCACGUGAUUGACUUGUAAGGCACCUAUGACUAGCAAAUAGAGAAUCAUCCACUCUCGGUAUUAUGAGAUGAAUAUCUCAUAUGCUCUCACUUAAGCAAAUCCCUAGCUAGGGUUAAUCAAAUCAUGAUAAACCUGAUAAACUGAGAUUUAGAUUGAGAGAUAAUGAGUUCUAUAGGAGAAUUCGAUUAGAAUGAGAUUCAGAUAAAUUUCGUAUAAGCUUGACAGCUCUAUGCCCAAUAUAUAAUUUCUGGGAUAUUAGAUGGAUGAUGAACUAUAGAUACACGAAAACUAAGGGCAAGUAAGUUCAAUCGAUUAUAUCCCCUUAUACCGUUUAAGGACUAUGGUGUAAUGGUUUAGUACGUCUAUAGUCGAUGAGUUGAGUGAAUUAUUAUGAGGGUAACAAUUCACUGAGUCAGAAGGAGUACUAAUAGGUGCAACUCAUAAUCAACUCGGUAUUGGGUAUAAAGGGGACAAUUGGGCCUAGAGAGUCACGCACAUAUGGUAGACAACGCGAUGAGUAGAGGAUUGGAUAUGAGAUAUCUAAUAAAUUUCUAUUUUAUUGGAUUCAUUGAGUGAGACCCAAUAGGGCUUACAGUAGUUAUUAGAUGGGGAUCCAAUAUCCAUGAAGUUAAGGUAAUUGGAUGGAGAUCCUGUUGGGGAUGGAGGAGCAAAGAAAUGAUAAAAAUAGAAUACUAUGAUACAAGUAAAAAGAAUCCUUUCGAUCAAAAAAAUCGAUGUAGUAUUUAAAACAAGAUGAUUGACAUAGAACACUUUUAAGAUAUUCCCAAGUGUAUUCUUCUUCUAUCUUGCUUCAUGAACUAUGGUCCUAUUUAUAGGACCUAGUGGUAACUACCUCACUUCCCAUGUCACCCAUGAUUGAGGUAGUUAUAGGAACUACCCUAUAACUUCUAGAUCAUGGGCCACUUCUUGAAACAUGCCUAAAACUACCCUAAACAUGGUAACUACCUAGAUAACUACUAUGAAUCAAUUCUCAAUACUCCCCCUUGAUUCAUAGUUACAUACACCAAUUUACGAUAUGAAAUAAAUAUGCUUUUGAAUUGGAAGUAACUUGGUGAGGAUAUCCGCAACUUGUUCAUUUGUUCCACAAUAUUUCAUUAAUAUGGCUCCACUUGCAACAAGAUCCCGGAUGAAAUGAUAGCGUAUCUCUAUAUGCUUCGUUCUUCUAUGAAAUGUUAGAUUCUUCAUCAUUGAAAUUGUGGCUUUGUUGUCACAAAAUAUUUCUAUCACUUCUUUUUGUUCUUGAGGAAGAUCUUCAAGAAGUCUUCUAAGCCAUAUUGCUUGAUAGACUGCUAAUGUUGCGGCUACAUAUUCUGCUUCCGAUGUCGAUAACGCGGUUGUUGUUUAUUUCUUUGAACUCCAAGAUAUAGCUCCUGAUCCGAGGCUAAAAAUAUUACUUGAAGUACUCUUUCUAUCAUCUAAAGCUCCUGCCCAAUCACUAUCAGUGAAACCAAAUAAUUUACAUUUAAAAUUAUGAGAAUACCAAAUACCAUAAUCUGUAGUUCCAGCAAUAUAAUGCAGAAUUCUUUUAAUAGCUCCGAGAUGAUAUUUGCUUGGGCUAUGCAUAAACCUAGAUACUACACCAAUAAAGAAGAUAAUAUCUGGUCGAGUAUGAGUUAGAUAAAUCAAACCUCCAACCAAACUUCUGUAGUAUCUUGCAUUUGUUAGACAUGUACCAUUUUCAAGUUUUAGUAUCUCAUUUACAUUCAUAGGUGUUGCUGCAGCUUUGCAAUUAAUGAUAUUAGAUUUUUUGAGUAGAUUCAUUGCAUACUUUUUUUAUGAAAUAAAUAUUUCAUCUAAUCCUUGCUUCACUUCCAACCCAAGAAAAUAAUAUAGUAAACCUAGAUCUGACAUUUCAAACUUAUUCAUCAUAUACUUUUUAAAUUCUGCUACAAAAGAGUUAGAUGAACCCAUAUAUAUAAUAUCAUCAACAUAGUGACAAACCAUUAGAAUAUUAUGUUCACCUUCCUUCUUUAGAUAAAGAGUAGGUUUAUUAUUGCUCCUCUGAAAUCUAUUUUGAUGAAAAUAAUAAUCAAUUUUACUGUACUAUGCCCUUGGAGCUUGUUUAAGCUCAUAAAGAGCUUUUCUUAGCUUAUACACCUUUUCUUCAUGUCUUUUAACCAAAAAAUCUUCAGGUUGAGUAACAAAAAUCUCUUUAUGUAAAUCACCAUUUAAAAAUGUAGAUUUCGCAUCAAAUUGAUAAACAGGCUAACUCAAGUGAGCAGCUAAAUCCAAGAAAGUUCUCACGGUUUCGAAUCUAGCAACUGGAGAAAAAGUAUCAUCAAAAUCAAUACCUUAUUGCUGUGAAUAUCCUUUUGCUAUAAGCUAAGCCUUAUGCUUUUGGAUACUUCCAUCUGCAUUAAACUUUGUUUUGAACACCCAUUUUAAUCCAAUAGCUUUCUUUUCUUUUGGUAGAUCCAUUAGCUCCUAAGUUUCAUUCUUCUCAAUUGACUUGAUUUCCUCCUUUAUUACUUUUCGUUAUUCCUUCUUUUCAACUACUUCCUCAAAAGCUAUAGGAUCUGAAAUAAAUAAAGUAAAUGUUGAGUCAUAAAUUUCUUUUAGUAAUCUAAAAUUUCUUGGAGGGGUUUCAUUUGAGGAAUCAGAAUUUGAACUGCUACUAGGUGAGGUUGGCGAUGAACUUUUUGGAGCAGGAUCUGUCAUUUGAUUCUGCUGAGUGUCUAGUUAUACUAGAAUAUAAAUUUGUGUUCUACCUUUAUUGGUCUCCUAAUUCCAACUUACAUUUUCAUCAAACACAACAUUUCUGCUAAUAAUAACUUUGCCACUAAUUGGAUUAAAUAAUCGAUAUGCUUUGGAUUGUAAAGAAUAACCAAUUAAGAUGUAUUUUUCAUAUUUUUCAUCAAGUUUGUGAUGAUUUUAUGAAUUCAUCAAAGCAUAAACAAUACGGUUAAAAAAAUUUAGAUGGCUUACACUUGGUUUCAUAUCAUACCAAGUCUCAAAAGGUGUUUGAUUCAUAACAACCUUUAUUGGUAAAAUAUUUAACAAAUAAAUUAUUGUUGCAACUGCUUCUGCCCAAAACUGAUUUAGAAGGUGUUUUCCUUUAAGUAAACUUCUUGUCAUUUCAACGAUAAUUUGAUUCUUACAUUCAGAUAUACCAUUUUGCUCCGGUGUAUAUAGUGCUGUCAAUUCUCUGCGAAUAUCAUUUUCUUCACAAAAAGAAUUAAAUUCAUUAGAUAAAAAUUCACCAUCUCUAUCUGUCCGAAGUGUCUUUAUGUAUCUACCACUUUGCCUUUCUACAAGUGUCUUGAAUUUUUAAAAAUUAUCAAAUGUUUCAGAUUUCAGUUUCAGAAAAUAUACCCAACUCAUGCGACUAUAAUAAUCAGUAAAUAAUAGAAAAUAUUGACUUUCACCAAAUAAUUUUGUAUUCAUAGGUCCACAUAAAUCAGCAUGAAUUAAUUCAAGAUAAUUAGAUGCUCUUUAUGCUUUUCUAAUAGGAAAUAGUUUUUUACUUUGUUCCAUAAAUGCAUCCUUCAUAUACAUCAAAUGUAUUAAUUUUAGGCAAUCCGAAAACCAUUUCUUUUUUAUUUAACAACCUUAAACCCUUAAUGUUAAAGUGUCCAUAUCUUAAAUGUCAUAAAUUUUGCUCAUUUUUUUGAGUUGCAACAAAAGCAUACUUUUUAAUAUUUGAAACAUCAAGUGGAAACAUCUUGUUUUGCGUCAUACACUUGUUUUGCGUCAUACAAACAUUUACUGUAAUCAAACUAGAUUUUUUAUCUUUAAUAGUGCAUGAACCAUCAUCAAAUAUAACUGAAUUUUCAUAUCUAUCAAUUGUCCAAUACUCAACAAGUUAUGUAAUAAGGUAGGAACAAAGAAAAUAUUAUCAAGGUAUUUUACCUUCCCUUGAUUUGUCUUCACCUUAAUUGUUCCUUUCCCUUCCACCUAGAUUUGCUUGUUAUCUCCAAGUCUAACUUUCAAUUUAUGAAUUUUAUUAAUAUCUCUAAACAUUUAUCUUAUGCCUGAUAGAACAUCCACUAUCCAGAAACCAAAUAUCAUUUGAGAUAUCAUUAACUUAUGAAUAAAUCAUAAACAACUUACUAUUUUCUUCAUUUUCCUCCACAUAGUUUGCUUGCUUUUCUCUUUUCUAGCAAUUUGCCUUCUUGUGACCAAACUUUUUACAAUAGUGUUAUUGAAUUCCACUCUUGUAAUUUUUUUGAUCAUAAUUUGAUUGUCUUUGUUCAUCAUGCCCAUCAAAGUAUCCUCUUCCUCUUCCUCUUCCUCUUUUAUUUCCUCUACCACAAAAUCCUCCUCUGCCAUAUCCUUUUUCUGCUGAUUUUUUAUCUUCUUUUGAAGUAGAAGACUCCUCAUUAACCUGAAACACUUUUUCUUCACUUUUUUCAAGUGACCUAUUCAACCUUGCUUCAUGUGCUUGCAAGGAACCCAUUAGUUCAUCAAAUGAAAAUAUAGAUAAAUCCUUUGACUCCUCAAUUACGAUAACAACAUGAUCAAAUUUUAAAGUUAAACUUCUCAAAACUUCUACAAUAAUUAUAUGAUCAAGAAGAUGUUCACCAUAAGAUUUCAUUUGACUAACAAUUUUAGUCACUCGAGAAAGAAAAUCGUGCACCGAUUCAUUGAUUUUCAUGAACAAAAUUUUAAACUCACGACGAAGGGUUUGAAGUUUUAUUGUAAUCACCCUUGAUGAGCCUUGAAAUUCAUUUUGAAGUAUUAACUAAGUUUGCUUUGAGGUUGUCGCUACUGCAAUUCUUAAGAAGAUUGUCUCAUGUACAGCUUAUUGAAUGAAGAACAAUGCCUUUGAGUCCUUCUUUCUAUUCUCCCUUAACCUGAUUUCGUCAUCUGAAUCCGCAUAUUUAUUCUCUAUUAAGUCCCAAAGAUCUUGAGACUUAAAUAGAGUCUUCAUCUUGAUACUCCAAAGUUUAUAGCAUUUGCCCAAGAAGAUGGGAAUAAGGGGUUGAGACAUGGAGUUGCCAUUGAAAGUCAUAACGCCCAGUUCAAAUUAAAACUUAGCUUUGAUACCACAAUUGUUGGGGAUGGAGGAGCAAGGAAAUGAUAAAAAUAUAAUACUACGAUGCAAGUAAAAAAGAAUCCUUUCGAUCAAGAAAAUCGAUGUAGUAUUUAAAACAAGAUGAUUGACAUAGAACACUUACAAGGUAUUCCCAAGUGUAUUUUUCUUCUAUCUUGCUUCAUGAACUACGGUCCUAUUUAUAGGACCUAGUAGUAACUACCUCACUCCCCAUGUCGCCCAUGAUUGAGGUAGUUAUAGGAACUACCCUAUAACUUCUAGAUCAUGGGCCACUUCUUGAAAUAUGCCUAAAACUACCAUGAACAUGGUAACUACCUAGAUAACUACUAUGAAUCAAUUCUCAACAGAUCCAAUGCUUAUUAAGACAAGAUCCAUUAUGGCAAGUGAAGAGGGUUAUCUAUAAAUAAGAGUUGGGGCUUUCUGGGUUAUAGGUUAGACCCCUACUGUCGCCACCUCCGACAUCUCCUCCCUACUCCUUCCUCCAGCCGAUUGCCCCCUCUUUGAUGUGAGAGGAUAGCAAGAGGGACCAAUCCCUCUUUAGUUGCGUGAUAUGGUGGUACACGAACAUAAAAAAAGAAUGUGCUACAUGAGAAGGUGUGUUGUAGCCGCAUCCGUUGUGUGGAUCACCACUAGAAAGGAGUUAGAGAGAGCUCCUUCAUCCACGGAUUGAGAUCUGUAUAUUAGGGGAUAUACGAUCUCUUCUAGGUAAGAAUGUCUCAACUACUAUACGUAGUUAUAUGGUUUUUAUCGCUUUCGAGUUUUACACUCCUGAUCUUUCACAUGACGAUUCAUUAAGAUUGAUUUGGGAAAUUGAUUUUUUUAUUUUUAUUUUCUACUAUGCAUGUGAUGCUCUUUGUAAUUUCCUAACAAUUGUGCACUAAACUCUUAAAUGUGUUAUGUCGCUUGAACUAAGUGGAUGCUUAAAGCCUUAAUAAGCAUCGCCUCAUAAACUUUAAAGUUUUUAAAGUCUUUCAUCCAUAAAAUUUACCCAUCAAUUUCUCUUCUACUUAGUUGUCGCCUUUAACUAGGUUUGCAUCACUUCAGUUUUUAAUUAAUAUUCUACUAGGAAAUUAAGUGAAUAAUCUACUCUCGGUAGAAUUGAUCAUCAUUAGUGAGGAUUUGACAAUGGUUGUAUUUUGCUAAGUUUCUAUGAAGAGUCUUUGAACAUAUAUAAAGCUCCUCUGCUCGAUAAAUAAGAGAACUAAGGUACUCAAUUUCGCUCAUUCUCUUAAGAGUUGAGAAGGUAAAGGUUACUUGACUUCGUCCACCUCCCCAAGGGUUAUACAUCAUGUAUCAAACUAGUUACUAGCCUUCGUUUGCUCUUCACUUUCACUUUUAAAGCACCCAAAGUAUUUGCACUCCUUACAUUAAGUUAGCUAUUACAAUUCGCCUCCUUAUUGCCAUCGAACUUAUAAAAUGAAAAAAAAAUUUGCCUGAAAAGAGUAAAAUUUAACCUCGACUUGGAGCAAGUCAUCAAUAGUUUUGGUCGCCUUUAGGAUUAUAUCGUCUUCUCCAUUAUUUCCACUACCUACUCCUCUAAGUAGAAAAAAUACAACACCAUAUACUACCUACUUUAUUCUUUAGUUAAGCACUCUUGUAUUAACCCAAAGUCUUCCCAUUUUUAGCUAUUUUGAUGAGAAGCCUGUCGACACUAGUCUUAUGAAAUUUUCUAGCCUCUGCCCUUCAACAUUAUGUUAGUACUUAAAGGUUACCUCAGUAUUCUCCACCUCCUUGAUCCCUUUUACGACUAAGCACUCUCCUUUCAUUAGAGUCAGAAUUGAUGACUCCAUAGAAGUCCCACCUUUGUGGUUUCAUGGCACUGUCAUACCUAUGGCCCUAGUAUUCAUCGCCUCGUAUUUGCAUCUCUUUAUUCAUGAUUGAUAGAUCUUCUACUAUGGUACUAUGGCAAUUCUCCGAAUUUACCUCCAUUCAAACCGACGUAUGGUUUUGGGUAGUUAGGUCUCUCUAGAAUCAUCGUCAUUUCCUCACCCUUUCAACUACUUAUUUCAACACCUUUAUAUUCUUCGAGCAAUUUUCCUUAGUCGAUGAAAAGAUAGACUACAAUUCUCAUGCAUAUCAUCUACCAUCAUAUUGCAAAGCUCACACCAAUUCUAUUCUCUUUUACAUCCUUGGUAGCAAUAUUCACUCGCUCGGCCUUGUCCUCCAACUUGUCGAGCUCUCUUAAAUGAAUAUGAGCUCCAAAGUAGUCCAACUCUCUAACCACUCCGCUUAUACCUCUAUAUAAUCAAGUUUCCCCUAUAGAACUCACUACUGAUACUUGCACUCAAAAUUCUCCCUCGAUGGUACACAACCCUUAUAUAUUAAUAACCAAGGCUUUCAUCUAAUGCAAAAUUUGAUAUAUGCAUAAACAAACCGCCUUUAUGGUACCAUGAUAUUUACUCCUUAAAUCCAUAGCUUUCUUGUUGUCAUAUUGUUUAUCGAAAUGGAGCUCCCAAUAGCUCCCAAUCAUACCUUCAUAUGAUCAAGCCCCCAUGGGACUUGUCCCAUGUGUGAUAUAUUGCCUCAAACUGUUCUACCACGAUCCGCUAUACCAUGUCGUCUCCUGAUGAUAUCUUCAUUACAUUCUAAUCUUUAUGAGAUAAACUUGGAUUAUGAUCUCUUCAUGUGUGGCAUUUCUUAGCACAUUGCAAGGCUUUCGUCAUCUCUGAUUAUAUUCGUUCCUUUGGUAAUCGACCUUUGUCUACCUAUUCUCGAGUCAUCCAUAGCCAAAACAUGGAUCUAAGAUAAUCCAUCGCCUAGCAACUCUUGAAGUUCACCGACUUUAUUAAAAUUAGUGCAUAAUUAUCUGGAUCCUAACUCUUGCCCCUAGCAUAAUCUCCACUAUACACAAUUUCCAUUGUGGUAACUUGAAUGACAACACUACGAUAUAUUUUUCAAGAGUACCUGACUUUGCAUCCUCUUACCCCAUGUCAAGGCUUUCUAACACCAACUUUCCUUCACAAGUUAAGUUGUCUUAGUCCUUCCGUCAAUUACUUCAUCGAGAUAAAGUGCAUAUGCCUCAAAGCUCCAUUCGACUUUGGCACCAUGCAAGAUGAGUCCGCUCCAUUAGAAUGAGGGACCCAUGGAAUGAUAUGAUUUAGCUCUUACCUCUACAAGAGUACAUAUCCUUGAUUUCUAUCUAAGAAAAGAUUCAUGCCUCCACUCCAUGUUCUAUAUUAUAUAUCGACUCCCUUCAUGCGGCUUAGGCAUUUUACCAAGUUUUACCUAAGUUGCUCUGCUCCUCGAUUUGUAUUGAGUAAAUGGUGAUCCUUGCGCCUACUAUUCCACGGGUCUGCUCUUCGUUGAAUCCAAUAUCCAUAUCGAUUCUAAGUAUGCUUUCGUUUGAUAUUACAUUGGGUCGCUCACCCACUUAAUCUCAUAAUGCAUCCACCAAUGUAUUACCUCAUGUGAUAGCUCAUCGCUGCUCGCUCAGUCCGUUGAGCUUUGUGGAGCUAUGCUUUAAGGUACCCCUCCUUAACAUGUGCAAUUCGUUAUACAUAAUUCUCUCUCUAGAGAACUAAGAUUUAUCCUUCUUGGAUAUCUAUCUCAUUGGAGUAACUUUUCUCUUCAUAUCCUUCUAUUUGGAAGUUUUGGAGACCACAAUCCCCUUAGACUACUUCACUUGUUGAACAAAUUAUACACUAUUCCACCCCCGUGAACACACUUACUAGAUUGUAACUCUUCGCCAAUACAACUCUCGUUAUGUCUCUAGAGGCCUAGCAACAUAGCAAAUUUACUAUACACUUACACCUCCUACGGAAAUAUUCUUUCAUGCUAAAGGAAAAGUUUCAAUGCUCCAUAACACCGAGUUUCGAUCACUUGGGAUAGCCACGGACAAUCCAUCAUCCACUUACAAGCCCUUGUAUAUGUACUAAAUUCUUUAAGUUAGCAAUUUCCCUUACCUCUGUGAGCUUUGCAUAGCUUUUUCGAUCAUUAAGAAACUUAUCCCUCCUUUGUCAAGUGCCUACUUAGCUUGAGCAUCGUCAAGUUUGAUUGCUAACAUCAAGUCAUAGCUCGAACUUAGCCAUCUCAACUUUUAUGCACUAUGCAUUCUUCUCAGUUCACUUGUCCUCAUGGUGUCUCUCACAUGAAGGAUUGGUCAUUCCUCUGAAUGUCAAUCUUGGAUGCCUACUCCUCUGAACAACUUCUUUCCCUACAUCUCUAUACUCAUUUCCCUCAAAUGAUCAUGGAUGUUGGGUGCCCUCAACGCAGCCCUGUUAGAUCCCUCACAUUUGCAUACUAAGUGUUUUGAAGUGUGUUUGUCCCACUCUAAUACCAUCUGUCACAAACUUAACUAGUUUUACCUAAGUUAUGCGGUACUUUUGCAUAUCAAUCCACAAAGGGUCAGCCUCUCCGAAACCUCUUGACCCUGUUAGGACCCUUUUUCUGAGCUUUUGAAUAAUGUUUAUUGAGUCAGUUUAUUUCAGUUGUUUAUUGAGUCUGUUUAGCUCAAUUAGAGUCGAGUAGAAGUUUAUUUAAUAUUUAAUUAUUAUUAAGAGUCCAAGUCCUAAUGGACUCUAGGUGGAACUCUAUAAAUAGUGAUGUAACCCUUUCUUUAAAUCAAUCAAUCAAUAAAAUAUUAUUCCAGUUUGUUAUGAUAAACCCUAGGAGGCUGAUCCCCUCAAAGUGAUCAAGAAGACUGAUCCCCUCGAAGCGAUCAAGGAGGUCGAUCCCCUCGAAGUGAUCAUUAUUAUUCCCUUUUCUCCCCUUUCUUCCAUGAUAAGACCUUUGGGUCUUAUCAUUUGGUAUCAGAGCGGUGAUUCUUUGCGUUCUCACUGCAAUAUUGUCAUAGCUAUCAAAAAAAAGAAAAGGAAGGAAAGGCCAGCAGCCACGCACAUAAUCGAGAACCCCUGCUUCCAACAAGCCCACCACCACCGCUGCUCUCUGGCCAACGACCACCGCCGCCGCUGCUGUAAGGUGACUCCACCACUACCGUUGCUUCCCUUCUUCCCCACCGCUGCUGUAAGGAAACUCCUCCACCACCGUCGCUGCUUCCCGACUGCUCAACCACCGCUGUCGCUGCUCCCCGGCCAGCGGCCUUCGCCUCCUCGCUGCCCCAUCUCGAUCGAGCGAGAAGGGCCACGGCCACUACUUCAUAGCCAGCGGACCACCUCCUCGUCACUUCUACCGUCAGCGAUGCUACCCCAAUUGCGCCACCAUCGCUGUCCCCCCUUGGGUCACAAUCGCAGUCACUCAACCAUCCAUUCUUGCGACGAUAAAAAAAAAGAGGCAACCACAACUACCGCAGCCACUGCCAUUUCCUCAACCACACGUGAUCCCUUGGUGUCACCCGCCUCCUUCCAUAAUGUGUCAGAGACAGAGCAACACUGCCUUCCAUCCGUGCCAUCGUAGCCACCGCAGCGACGCUACCCCCAGUCACACCACCAUCGCUGCCUCCCAGCCCUCAGCAGCAUCGAUCUCUCCACGCAACGACCGUAAUAAGCAUCGUUGCCUCCCAUCUGCAUCGUUGCAGCCACCGCGGCGAUGAGCCCUUGGCGGCGCUACCCCCAACCGCACCAUCGUCGCUGCCUUCCCUUAGGUCGCAACCGUCGCUAUAGGUUGCCAUAACCGCAGCCUCAACCCUGCUGCUUGGCAAUCACCCCCUUGGGUCGCAGUAGCUUCAGCCACACCGACGCAGUCGCCUUCCAACCCUUGGCGGUCUCACCCCAUGCAGUGACAGAAACAGGGCAGCAUCUCUUCCUCCAACACAGCAACCGCAGCAUUGCCCUAUGCGUCCACCUCCUCGGCAACUUCGUAUCGACAGUGCUGAUACCCUUGACCAACAUUAAAAACAGGAGUUGAGAUUACAGAUUUGUAGUUUUAUGCAAUGGUCACCGAUAACUCAGUGAAAGCACAAAUGAAAGCAUUAGAAAUCAGAAUUGAGAAUCGACUGUAAGAAACACUUAAUGAUUUCAAAAAGAGCCUAUUGGAGAGCCUCAGCAAAUUUUAACAAAAUGAGGGCUCAAGUUCUACGUUGCACAUAUCUGAAAAUGCAGGAAAAGGGCCCCAAGAUUGUGACACAAACUACUCACACAUGAAGGUGAAAUUUUCGAGAUGGGAAGAUGGGGAUCCGACUACUUGGAACUUUAAGGUGGAAAAUUUUUUUCGUUUUCACAAAACCCCAGAAGAAUCUAAGAUAGAAGUGGCCUCAAUCCAGCUUGAUGGAGAUGCAAUCCAAUGGUACGAUUGGUAUGAAACUUUCCAUGGAGUUCCUUCGUGGGACCAGUUCAAAAGAGGGCUUCUUGUUCGCUUUGGCCCAUUCGAAUAUGAGAAUGUUGAUUGUCAGCUCACCAAAAUUUGUCAGACUUCUACAGAGUUGGAAUAUCAUAGUAGGUUUGAAAGAUUGUCAAAUCAAGCUAGAGAUUGGUCAGAAUGACAACUUCUAGGUACAUUUAUUGAAAGGCUUAUUCUAGAGAUCUGGUGUGAAGUUAAGGCUCGUCAACCCCGCAAUAUGAUAACUGCUAUCUCAUUUGCACAUCUAAAUAAAAAAAAAAUUAACAAGGAAAGAUCAACAAAAGAUUUGUACUAUGAUGAAAAGUGGAAUAUGGAGCACCGAUAUAAACAAGGGCAACUUCUGAUGAUUGAACCAAUUGGAGAGGAAUCGAAAGCUAAGAAUGUGGACUCCGAUCAUGAAGGUAUAAAUUCUAAUGAAGAUGUUGGACCGACCAUACAUACAAUGCAUGCAUUAGCCGACUACUCUAACCUGCAAACUAUGGAAGUUGGCGAAACUCUGGAACAUCAACCUGUUAUAGUUUUGAUUGAUACUAGUAGCACUAAUAAUUUUAUGGACAGGUUCUGAUAGUAAAUGUUCAAAGAUAAAAUUGAUUAUACAGGGCCAGGAGUUUUUUGCAACGAUUACUACACUGAAAGACCGACUUGUUGCUUACACUAUCAAAAAGUGGAGACUAUACUUACUUGAUCAACAGAUUAUGAUGCUUUACAGAUAGCCUAUGACUGAAGUGUUGAAAGAGAAGCUCCCUGAGUUUGAUGCUGCUCAGCCUUGAGGACAAGGCUGAUUUGAAGAAGGAGGAAUUGUUAGGACCCUUUUUCUGAGCUUUUGAAUAAUGUUUAUUAAGUCAAUUUAGUUCAAUUGUUUAUUGAGUCUGUUUAGUUCAAUUAAAGUCGGGUAGAAGUUUAUUUAAUAUUUAAUUAUUAUUAAGAGUCCAAGUAUAAACUUCGAAACUCUAUAAAUAGUGAUGUAACCCUUUCUUUAAAUCAAUCAAUCAAUCAAUCAUAAUAACUGCCGUUAGUUAACGAGAUAUUUAGCAUCUCAAUUAGUCAACUUAGAAAAUAUUUUUCUCUCUUCUCAAAGAACUUUUUAGCAUCAGCAAUCUGGAAUCGCAGUUUUGAGGCUGCUUCUAUCUUUUCUCUAUCUUCCAAGACUCCUGCUUCUAUUUCUUUGAAGCCGAACAACAUCUGGAUGAACAUGAACUUAAUUUAUGGAAGAAACUGGGAACCACAAAUCUAAUUUAUUUGUGUAUUAGAUCAGUUGGCAAUAUUCUAAGAUUAAACAUAUUCAACAAAAGUUGUAUUCAGAAAUCAGUAAUUGUAGCAUAUUUGUCGAUACAGGGAACAAAUAUGUACUACUUUUAUAAUAGUUUACUACCAUUCUACAUCUCAAGUAACAAAUGAGGAUGACAAAGACACAUAAUACAUCUAAUUAAAAGGAAAUACAUGCAGAAGAAGUACAAAAAGACAAAAAAAAAAAACUGAAGAAUUAUUCGUCAACCACCACACAGAUAUAAUUAUGUUAUUUUCUGUGAUUGUUUAUGAUAAAAUGUAUCUCCCAAGAAGUCAAAUUGUUGCCAUCCUUGAGAACUGGAUUGUCACUAUAUCUGUUCCAUGUAAAUCAAAAUAUUGAGCUGCUUUGCAUGGAUAGUCAAAACAAUUAACCAUCUCCUACUGCAAACUGUGCAAGCUAGAGAUAAUUUAAAUCUCAAGAUAGUGAUCAAAAUUGUACAACAUGUAAAAUCCUUUUGAAUGGCUCUUCAGAUAAAACGCUUUUUGUCUGUGACAUGUACUUUUAUCGAAGCCAUAUGUCAUUUUCAUCAGUUUGAACACUGGAGAAUCAUGUAACGAUGCAUGAUCUCGGAUCCUCAAGGAUCUCAUUCAGUGUCAUAUAGUUUUCAUCAUAAAACUUGCAAGAAUUGCCAGUAAUGUCCACCAAAUUUCAGCUAAACGUUCUUGCUUCUGCUACCUUUAGCCUUAAGAUUUUCUCCCUUGCGAUUAGAGAGGACCAUUGAAAUCACAACUAGAAACCCUAACACAGAAAAGGCCCAAAGUGCAACCAUCCUUAUCCACGGAGACAUACCCAUCCUACUUGAGGCAUGAAUAGAUAUCACAUUAGCUGCAGGAUUCGUCACAUGUUUCAGUUCAUCUUCCACUACACUAAAAUUACUAUUGCCUUCUGAAGGAAUAGGGCAUUUCCUGCUCUGAUGAUGCAGAUAAAGAGCAGUAUUCAAUGCUUUCCCACAUUCAAUGCUAAGGAUAUCUCUCUCUAAAAUAUUUUCAUCUGAUGUGGAUAGACUUGAACGAUCAGGUGGUUCGGGAAACUUAGCCCAACAUGUAUUUACCAUGUCAACAUUUCCCCAGUCAGCCUUGUCAAAACUCCAAUUCCCAACACCAAAUCUCAGUCCAUAGUGGAAGACCUUGUAUUUGACUCCUGGUUCAGGAACAUAACCUGGGUAUAUCAGUAUGUCACGCCUGAUAAUAUGCCUCAGAUUUAACUGCAAGAAAUUGAUGUGAGCAAGUCAUACAAAAGAAACAGUUAGCUUUUACAUGAUUCAUUGAUCAUAAAAAACAUUGUGGAAAUAGUUCACACUAGUGUAGCAAUACACUGAGCGGCAAUUAUACCUGUUAAAAGCUUGUAAGCAACUGAUUUAGACUCUAUACAGCACAUAUGUGGUUUUGGGAGUUAAGUGAUCAAUUAUGUGAAUACCAAACGCUUGUCUUCCAACAUAAACAGAGAGAUAAUAUAUAUGAAUAGUGCUGUUUGAAUGUACACUGAACGGCAAUCAUAACCAUUAAAAACUUGUAAGAAAAUGAUUUAGAGGCUAUACAACACAUAUAUGGUUUUGGGAGUUUAAGUGAUCAAUUAUGUGAAUACCAGAUGCUUGUCUUCCAACAUAGUUAUAUAUGAAUAGUUCUGUUUGAAUGUACAUCCUCUCAAAGUUUGAAAUGGUGAGACUUGAUGCCAUAAUAAAGUUGAUAUUUUAGGACCUGGAAGUAUUAGAAUCAGGGGAACUACUUUUCUUAGAAGGGUAGAACUCCGUACAUUCACCCUUUCCAAAUUUUGCAUAGCGUUGUGCCCUAGGUUGCCUUUUCCUUUAAUAACUUUCAACAAAUGGAAGUUUGACCCAAUUAAAAAAUUAUUUGAAAAAAUAAGUUCAAUCUAAAAAAUUAAACAGAAAUAACUUGUAUAUUUGCUAAUUGAAGAUAACCCAUAGACCAUUUAGAAAAAGAACCUCAAGAUCGUAAGUUCUAAACAAGGUACAGACUGAUAAUUAGAUUAUUUGCACUCAAACCUUAACCUCUUUUUCCUUUUUACACAAAUGUGCCUAUAAAAUUAGUUCUUGCAUACUUAUUUCUUAGAUAACCACACAACAAUUUCAGAUAAUAUGCUAUCGUAAAUAGAAAUUUAACACAUUUAAGGAAACAUGAUAUGUCAGAUAAAAAAUUACUAAUUAAUCUAACAAUAAUUACAGGCAUUCGGAGCAGACAUAAUACUAGAAGCAUAGGCACAAACAAAAGGAAAUUGGAAGGGUGUGCAAGAACAUAGGCACCUCAGAGGUGCAAUUAUACAAUAAGAUGACUUUUUGUGGGCAUGUGCAGGAAACGAAAAGGAAACAAUCUAAAAUUAGCAGGGUAUGUGUAGUAAAUGAAAAAGAACUACAAAAUCAGCAACAUAUGGAGAAAAAAUUCCCAUUUGAGCUUAGAGAAAUGCACAACAGUACAAAACAACAGGAAAUUAAGAAAUGUGACAUUUGAAGUUCUCAUAUCAACACUUUUUUGUUAAUAGUAUUCUCACACCAACAUUUGCACAGGAAAAAUGACAAUAACAAGAAAAUGUGACAGAUUUAUAAAAUAAAAGAAAUAGGUGAUCCUAAAAUCAGAAUGUUUCUGAAAGUCAUUUGAUUUGUGAUUAACCAGGGAAAGUGAACCUACACAUUUUGAUCUGAGUGACUUGGAUCUCUAUUGUAAGGGAUAUUACGAUUAGUUGCUUAUAUCAUGAAUGUCUUGCUGCAACAAGGCAAGUGGAGGUAGCUAUAGCAGUUUAGAGAGUUUUUGCGAAAUGGAAAUAACAAUCAUAUUUUGCUUGAGCAAUGUUGCCCGGUGAGGCUUUGAUUGAUAGACUUACAGAUGAAAGGAUAUUGAAUUGAGAUAUGAUGGACAGUGCUCUUGUUCCUGAUGGAUUGUUUAAUAAUAAGCGGAAUUCACCCUAUUGUAUAUCUGAAUAAUGAUCAUGUUGCCUGGAGAAACUAUGAACGAUAGACUUACAGUUAAAAGGAAAUUGGAUUGAGAUGUGAUAGCGCUCUUGCAGCUGGCAUAAUUUUUAAAAAUAAGUGGAAUUCAACCCCUGCAGUAAAUCUGAAAAAUGAUCGUGUUUGGGAGUAAAUCAGAAAUGGUGUCUCAAGUGACGAGCACAGGUUUGUUUGGAAACCUACAAAGAGAAGCAAUUUUACAAUUAAAGCAACUUGGGAGAAUAUGACAGAAGGAAAGAAUUUGAUAGAAUAAAACAAUUUGUUUUCAGCCCACUUCCAAGUUGCUUUUAUAAAGUGCAUUGUAAUCCGAGGCAUAUCUUCAAUACAGAAUAGUUUGGAAGGAAAGGGUAUUACCAAUUUCAACUUUGUUUUCUGGCAAGAAAGUGCAUUGUAACUCAAAACAUCUCUUUUUAGUGGGAAAAUUGCUGGGUCGAUAUGGUAAAAAUUAUUAACUAAAGUGCAAAUAAGAAGAGGAGCAAUGCCCUUAUCUUCACAAACAAUUCGUUUGUUAAUCAUUGUGAGGAGAAGAGCUCAUCAUUAAUGUUAAGAAGAGCAAUAUUUGCUGCUGCUUUGCAUUUCGUGGAUAGUGAGAAAUUUUUGCAUCUUCAGUUAGCAGGCUAAAACAGGGGAGCAGAUCAUGUGAUGCAUCAAACAGAUGUAAAAUAUCAAUUUUCAGUUGAUUAUUCAAUAUAAGAGCAAUUUGGAAUGAGGAUUUGGACUCGCUUGGGGCAUAUUGAUAGAAUCAUCAUCAAGUUGGCUGGAGAUAAAGAUCUUGAAAUAAAUCUUCUAGUUUAGGAGAUAAAUGCAUGUUUAUAAAAGUCAUCAUGUGUAAGCACAUUACUUAUCUGUAUGUUAUAUGUUCUCUUAAAUAUGCAUAUGCCUAACCAUAUGCAUGUUUCAUUUGUUUGUUGAAUGUGUCACAUCAAUACAUCCAAGACUGAUUUUAAGCCAUUGACUAUUUAUGAGAGAUUCAGAACAGGGUUUCAAGUCCCACUCUGAGACUUGUACUGGUCGCUGGCUAGAUUGGUAUGGUUAUACUACACAUUGGUGUAUUGGAACAUGGUACACCAAUGUACCAGUCAGCGCAGACUAAAGAGAGAAAUAGAAGAGGGGCAGAGCAGAAGGAGAAGUAGGAGAGAAGGACAAGGAGAGGAAUAUUUUUUAAUAGAACAAAAAAAUUCCAGGUUCUCACAAUGGAACAUGGGAUAAUUUAUUUGGCUAGUUAAAUGGUUAAAUGAUUUCUAGUAUGUAACAUAUGCAUGAACUUUUGCAAUUUUUCCAGACUGUGAUGUAGAUCAAAUUAUGCAUAUAGAUUAUUAGGUACAUGAUGUAGUGAACUAAAAACAAUCAUCAAUAGAGAAUAUCAGCAUUGGAAAGUACUAAAGCAUUCUGUACCUCAGCUGCACCGAAGGAGUAACCAUACAUUUCACUUAUCCAUCCAGAUCCAUAAAUGUCCCCAGUAAAAUUUGUAGCAUAAUGAGCUUUGUCAGAUCGAACCUCCUCUGUCUUGUGGAGCCACAAUAAUGCAAACUUCCGUAGAUCAUCUAUGUGCAUUAUUAUAACACCACCAACCUUUUCACAAGCAGAAGGAUUUCUAGUGUGUAUCUUUGCAAGCUCAUUGUCACAACCAAUAAGGUAUCUAAAAUUAAGAAUGGACAACAAUUAAGGAUAUAUGAAAAAAAUCAAAGGAGCCUCCAAUUUAAAAAGUAGAUAUCUUUUCCUCUUACUCAUAAGGAGUUGAAACAGGACGACCACGUUGCGCACCAUACUCCCAUGGUGUAAUGGGACCUCUCAUUAUCAUGUCAGCAUCCAAAAUAACAAUGAACUCAGCAUCAGUUUCAACAUGAUUAAGCCAAUGAAGAACGGAUGCUGGCUUAUUGAUAGCUGGAUACCUAUAUGGUAGAAUGCAUGUUAAUUAGCAACUGUGAAGACAAUAAAAACACAAAAAACUUAACGAAUGGAAAAUACAAGGAUUAAUGAAACUCACCUAAAAUUUUGAUGGAAAGACAUUGGAACUAGUUAAAGUGUUAUAAUACAUAAAUUAUCAACCAUGAUAGCUUCAUUCAUAAUCACUUUGGAAUUCGCUUAUUGUAACAGAACUAGUUAAGCACCAUUGAAAUUAAACAACGUAGUACUUUACAUGGCCAUGGAUAGUAGUAACGGACUAAUGGUAAGCUUCGACAUUAAAUGAGGAUUGAUAGCCAUCGAUAAAUAAAAACAGUUGUUUGCACAAGAUGGCCCUCAGCAGCACUGAUAUCUAAACAAUAACAGAGAGAGGAAGGGGAAGUUAACCAAGAGAAACCUGAGAGUACUGAGAGCUCAGCAAGGAGGAUGAAGUAGGACUAGGGCAAGAGAGGUUCACAGACAGAAAUAUGUCAGCAUAGUUUGGAAAUUAUUAUAUAAGGUUAGCUUAGGCUGAAUAAUAACCAUUGAGCAGUCUAAUAAUUGAGCAGGAAGAAUCCACCCCCUUUUGAAGGGGUCAGAUAUCGAGGUGGCACAUAUCUGGCAUAAAUAAAGAUUUUCAAAAUUCAUACAUGCCUGAAUUUUUAGCCUACAGUGAAAAGGUAAAUAAUGACAUAAUCCAACAGUGUAGAUGAUAGAUUUGGACAAAAUAUGAAUCAAGGUUCUAAAUACCAAUUGAACCAGUAAUCAUUGACCGUUAUGUAUCAACCAGUAUUUAACACCAAAAAAGUUCUAGUAUUGGAACAUAUAGUUGGAUGCCAAAAAGGUUUAAAAAUUUGAAUUUACCAGUGAGUAUAGACUGAUGUUCACCGAUCUCACCAUGAACCAAUAUGGAGACCAUCAAUUUUAGUCCAACAUCUAGAUGUAAUGAUCACGAUGAGCUGAUAUUUUGACAGGUCACGCUUGAUAUGAUUAUCUUACAUGUACACUGUCCAGUUUUAAGUAUUCCCUAUCAAUUUGUUUUUCAUUUUUUAUAUCUUUUGAUAGCCCUCUUUGCCCUUUUUUUUUUCCUCUUUCUUUUUAUUUUCUGAAUCCUCUAACAUUUCCUCUCUCUCUCUCUCUCUCCUGUCUCCCCUCCUCCCAUUGCCAUUGCCACCUACUACCAAUGAGACUCUUCCUUAGUCUCCUCAUCUUCCUCCUACAACUCUGCCUCCCCUUCCCUCUCCUCCUCCACCCUUUCCAUAACUCUCUCUUUAUUCCAAAAGGUACCAGCCAGCACCAGGUACUACUACUAGUACAUCAAUUCAUAUAGGUAGCACAUUAGUUCGACUUCUAAUUGGUAUCAGGAUCAAACCAAGAUUCCAAUACGUUACCAAGACCAGUAUCGGGUCAAUAUUUAUCACUUCGAUAUGAACUUCUAUGUCUUAGGAACUUAAACCAAUUAAUUAAAAUCCUAAUGAACUUCAAAUUUCAGAUGAUCUUUUUAUGCUGUCAAAUUUGAGAAAAAUAUAACUAAAAGCAGAGAAACAGACACAUCGUCCCUCUAACUUCUGAAAAAUGACGAUGCAGUUGUUCUAGAUUAAGAAGAUAAAUGCAUCAUAAACUCAUGGUUUAGUAAUAGAGAGUACUUUGUGGUACAUGUCCAGCAAUCACAUAUUUGACAGAAUUACAAAUCAGAAUUUCAGAUUGUGAAUAUGCACACUUGACCAUCAAUCAGUUAAGAUCACAUACCAGUCUCCUGUUAAUGGAUGUUGGCUCAUAGAUGGAACAUAAUGUGUAGGAGCUAAAUUAUGGCCCUUGUAUUGCUUCAAGACCUCAUCAGUACAACUAAGAAGUCGAGUGAUAUUUCCAGGCUGGCCACUCAAAUGAAAACUAUGAACAAGCCCCACAGUUUGCCAAUCAAAAUAUGAUGAACAUUCUGUUGAGAAAAGAGUAUGUAUUUUUGGGUACACAUUUCGAGAUUCAAUAGAGAUAAUUCUGUGCUCUGAUAUCUGACUGCUAGGUUUUUUGCGAUUUAAAUAUUUUGGCUUAGUGAGCUCAGAAAAUCUCUUACUCUUCAAGAAACUUAGAUAUUUUGACCACUGUGGCUUAGGACAACCCAUAGAUGCAUGGUGUAAUAGAAGACCUUCAUUUAAAGUGUUAAUGCAUUCUAUGCUCAAGAAUAAGCCUCGCCUUUUGUUUAAAUCAGCUUCCAUCAUCUCGACCUGCAUACAAAUGAUUGUCAGAGUCGUAAUUGAUAAGGCAUGAUGCUUCUGAUCGCAUUUGUCCUUUGGUGCACUCCAGAGAACAAUUGGACAAUGGAACCAAAUUUGAGUUCGUAGUUGCACAAUGGUCAUACCUCUCUAGGAAAAGGUGGUGGAGGGAAGAUUCUGUUGCAGUCAUACACAAUGCCAUCCUCAUGAUGUCUUAUCUUUCUAAAGGACCAAUUACCAACUUUAAAUGGUAAACCAUAGUGCAAGAGGAUAGGCUCCACACCAACUCUAGGAAUAUAACCAGGAUAAAGCAUUAAAUCAUCAUUUAUCUUGUGACGGAGGCCGACCUGAACAUAAUGAAACAGAGAGAUAAGGACAAUAUAAGACCGUCACUAAUUAUCUUGUGAUAAAGGCUGACCACUAUCAAAAUAAAUUGAAGGAACCAAAAAAAAUCGUUUACCUCUGCUGCACCAAAUGAAUAUCCAUACAUCUCACUGAUCCAACCCUUGCCAUAAAUGUCACCAGUUAUGUUGGUUCCCCAAUGUGCUCGAUCCUCUCGCACUUCCUCAGUCUUUGAAAGCCACAGAGGAGCUAAAGCCCUUAAGUCAUCAAUAUGCAUGGCUAGAAGUCCACCAACCUUGUCACAUAAUUCAGGAUGCUUUGUGUGCAAACGUGAGAGAAUAUUAUCACAUCCCCUCAAGUACCUGAAAGAAAAAGGGACAAAAAGCAUGAUAAAUCUAUUUUAACAAUUAAAAAGAAAACAGAACUUUACAGUUAUUUCAGAGAAAAAAUUGAAUGGAGUAAGGAUUCAUACCCAUAAUAUGCAGCAACUGGUCUACCUUUCUCGGCACCCAGUUCCCAAGGUACUAUUGGACCUCGAAUGAUCAUAUCUGCAUCCAGGAUUACAACCCAAUCAACAUUAUCUGCAUCUUCACUAUGUUCAAGCCAAUGCAAAACACCUGCUGGUUUAUUGAUAGCAGGAUACCUGAUAAAAUAGAGAAAAAUCCCAUAGCUAAUUUGAAUAUCAAGACAAGCAUUAUGUCUCUAACCAAUGGGGAAUGCAGUAACAGAGAUCGACAAAUAGAUCAACAUCAACUGGGUAAUGCAAUGAUUCAAGGUUGGAAAGAAAAUGUACAGAAAGGCAAAGUAUAAAGCUACGUGAUAGGUAAAACUAUUAGAUUUAUGUAUUUUUCAUAACUAUUAGAAUAGACACGAGAAAAAACACCACUAACCAAGUAAAAUUGAAUACCAAUGUGACAAGAGUCAAAAUGUACCUUAGACACAUGCAGCAAUAGAAAUUUGGCCUGUAAGUACAACUUGCAAGAAAUAUACGGCAGAUAAUAUUAAUUUUGGAUUUUCUCAUGAUAUUAACACGUAGACGUCAAGCCAUUUGUAUGUACAAGCAGUAGAAUGGAUUCUUCAAAAGGUACAUUCCACUGCAUGACACCUUCCUCAUAACAUCCUAAGAGUCUUUUGUGCAAUAAAAAUCAGCAUCCUUGGGAUAACAGAAAAAUAUUACUUGCAUGAACUGAAAAUUUAAACUAUCAAGUAUCAAGUACUGUUGAGAAAAUUUGGUUUGCUUGCCAAUCUAUCUAGUUCACCAAACAGCGAAUGUUUAACAUCAUAACGCAUGUCAACAUAGUGUUGGAUGUUCAAUGUUGUAUCUUGAAUGAGAUGCAAUGAAAAUUGUCCCAGCAUGGUUUCAACAUAAGAGGCACUUGCUCAAGUUCAUUCUUCUAUCUGAUUUUGAGAUAUCCUUAUUGUCAAGCAACCCACUGCAUCAGGCUCUUGACAAUGUAAGGUCUGGAAAGAGUAAAUGUAUGCAGCCUUAUACUCAUAAGCAAACAAUUCAACGCAGAAGGCACUUGUUCAAGUUUAUUGUUCUAUCUAGUUUUAAUUUUUAAGAUUUGGUAUUAUCAAGCAACCCACCGCACUAAGCUCUUAACAAUCUGAGUUUCUUGAAGGAUCAACUUAUGCAGCUUUGCACGCAUAAGCAAAGAAGUUUAUCUAAUCAUCUAGGUCACAGUGGAACAACCUUAUAGUGGUGCCAAGUCCCACCUUUUUAAGAUUUUACAUUACCACAUACCAAAAUUUCAACUUGGUGCUUGGAUUCCACAAAUACAUGCCAUAUUUACGUAAUAUUGGAAACAUUGGUCAAGAUAGGACCAAAUGAAGAUGCUGUUUAGCCAGCAACUCAAACUCAACCAAUCAAAUUCUUGCUACGUACUAGAGAAAUCUUGUUUGCCCGACGGCAGUUAUGGUAUUUCCAAAAAAUUGUGUUAAUCUAUAAGGUAAGCCAGCUUGAGGAUCCAGAAUUGCAGUAACAGUAAAUUAUAUAUAAUGCAGAUCAAAAUCUGUUUGUCUUGUGUUAAUCUAUAAGGUAAGCCAGCUUGAAGAUCCAGAAUUGCAGUAAUAUGUAACAGUAUCUGCAUUCUAAGAAUUUAAAAAUAUCAACAAGCUGGGAAUUAGUUAAAAAGCUACUGACAUAAAAUCAAUUAUUUUAUUUGAAACAAAACUAGUAAUAAUAAUAUCAAACAUAGAAGACUAAGUUGGCCAUAAGAUCACCCAAGAGUUGCUGUGGGGGCUGGACGUAUGAUCAAGGCAAUGAUCAUAUAAUCAUGCAUCAUUCUAAUGUAACACAGAGUGACCAACAUAGCUGAGCUCAUUUCAGAUAAGACAAGGCCAGAAGAACAUGGCAGACAUGUCCAGGAAAUUAAAGAAGUUAAGAUAUGUCUAUCCAUACUCAAAUAGUAUCACCAAAAAAGCCCACAUUUUUACAAGCAUGAUGCAACAUAGGAAACACUGAGAACAACAACCUUGGCAGCUUUCCAAAGAUUUCAGUCAUCAGAAUAACUUGAAAUGAGAAAGGGGGGGGGGAAAAAGACAUGCUACUGCUCAUUGACCCAACUUGGCAAGAAAUUAUUUUGUUAUAGCAAUUUAAAAUCACCGGAUUCUCCAUUCUCAUGCCAAUAUUGGUGGAUGUGAAGAGAACAAAAGUUCACCCAUUAAUCCAAAAGGUUAUUCAAGGAUAAAUUGGUUCCAAGUAAUCAAUUGAAUCACAACAUUUAGUAAAAAGAUAGAAACAAGCAUUUUAGUUAUUCUGAACCAUAAUAGAUUUGAAACUCUAAUGCCCCAAAGCAUUACCAAAUCUACGCAUGUUAUCAUCUCUGUUUCAAUGAGCCCGACGUUCCAUCGUAAAAAGGCAGCUCAGCUGAAAAUUCAACUCCAGAGGAGCACCGCGAUUUCCCAAAUUCAUAUAUCAAAUGCAAAUACCAGUUCACGAAUCCGAAUUUCAGAUGCAAUUAAAACAGAAGUACGGCAAAGUAAAAGCACAACUUCUUUUGCUCACCAAUCCCCGGUCCUUGGGUGGCGGCUCAUGGAAGGGACCUCGAAGGUGGGCGCGAGGCCCAUGCCCCGGUACCGGCGGCGCUGCUCGUCGGUGCAGCUAAGGAGACGGGUGAUGGGCCCCGGCUGCCGCGCCUUGCGGUAGCUGUGCAUCAAACCCACCGUCUGCCAGUCGAAGUAAUCCUGGCACUCAACGGAGAACAGGGUGUGCAUCCUCCACGGCGCCUUCCGGGCCUCCGCCAGCGCCGAGGAGGGACACACCGCCACCACCACCACCAGCACCACGAUCGCCGCCGGAGCGAAUGACGCCAUCACGGACAAAGAUCGCAGCGGCCGAUCCAGGGAUCUAAAGUUCAGGGCAUGGUGGUGAAGCGUCGACGUUCCUUCCACCAAUUGCUGUCCUAAAAGGAUUAAAAGAAAAUGCAGAGGCGUUGAUGGAAUUUUGCCAAAUCUUUUAAGGUCUUGAUUUAAUUUAGAAGAUUCCAAUUCAUAACCCUUUUGAUAUCUAUGAGUUUAUUUUCAAUUUUUUUUUUUAUAAAUAGACAUCCAAUGGACAUAAAUGUUUUAUAUUAUAAUUUUUAAAAGAAAAAAAAAUAAAAGAAGGAGUAUGGUUUGAUUUAAGUUUUUGGCUUUGUUUGUUCCACAUCUUUUUUCUUGGCGUGUUUUGUUCAUACACUAAACUUAGUUAGAUAUCUAAACAAAUUCAAAGGGAUCUAAUAUGAAUUAAAAUAGUUCCUCGUACAUCAAUUGCUAAUUUCCAAAGGGUUUUACGAAGUUGUAAUCAUGUAGAAAAAAUAUAGUAAUUUUCUGAAGAGGAAAAAGCUUAUAUUAUGAUUCAUUUAAUAAUAAGAUACUGUUGGUGACGGUGAUACACUGACAAGGGAGAAAGAAGACUUGAGAGACAUAAUAAAUUUACAUAAAUAUUCAUCUUUAAUCAAAACGACAUCCUCCUAAUUAAUAUAUAUAUAUAUAUAUAUAAUAAAAAUAAAAUUAUUUAUCAUAAUCGCAAUUAAAUGGAAACUAGGGUGUGUUAUUGUGGUCUUAAUUUUCUCACUCUUACCUCUACCUAAAUCAUUUUUCCAGAGUUUGACUUAAGCAUCCAAGGAAAUAUACUGAGAACGUCACCUAAAAUUAGUCUUAGUAUAAGUGGAUACUAUAUCGAUCAUCCAAAAGCUUUUUUUAACGUAGAUCAACGUCAUCCCUAAAUAAUAUUAAUAUAUUAUAUAUUAUUAUCUCCAAAAUAAGAGAUGAUUAUUUUUACGAUAUGACAUGAUAUAAUAACUGACUUAUUAAGCUCAAAUCAUUCAUCAGCAUGCCUAAAUUAAAAUUUUAUGAUAAUACACUUAUUAGAUACUUGUAGGUAAAUCUUAAUCUUAGUCCGAUGUGUUUAUGAUUAUAAUAUAUAAAAAUAAUUAUGCAUAUUUUCUAUUUAAUUUAUUUAUUGAAUUCUACUGGCACUCAUGUGUACUCCAAUAAUUAUGUAUAUACAUAUAAUAUAUAUAUAUAUAUAUAUAUAUAUAUAUAUAUAUAUUAUAUGCGUUUAUGUGUCGGAUCAUUUUUGUUGCACAUAUCUCAAUGCAUAAAUAUAUAUUUUUGGAUUCUAAUCGUCACUUACCUUUUAUAAUAUAUAAAGAAUAUUAAAAUUAUCAUUUAAUAAUAAGAAUGAUAGCAAGUUUUUUUUUCUUUCUAAAUCCAAAAUAGACUAUCUACUUAGUUAUUCAAAUUUAAAUUUAAGCAUAUCCAACAGAUGAACCAAACAUCAAAGAAAAGGGACAAAUAUCCCAUAUAAUUCUUUAAUAUAUUUUUGAAAAUAAUAUCAUGAUUAUAAUCAGUCAAGUGAUCUCUAAACUUAUAAGACCAACGCAUAAGAAGACAACCAGCCGGCCUCUCCCUGCAUUGCAAUGUCAGCCACACUGCAUAAAGCACCAACCCAACUCUCCUACAGCCAACGCCUCACCAUCGGUUUCACCUCCAUCAAAGGUAUGUUGAAUUCCCACUCCUGCAUUGCGUGCAUGCCGCUAAACGACUCAGGUGAUGCUGUGCUUCCUUUCUCAUGGAGCAGGAAGAAGACUCAGCGAUGAAGUCGCAGAAGCGAGGGGCGGCAAGCCGCGGCGAACCCCUUCCGGACCUCACGGACUUCAUGAACGACUGGUUCUUCGGCAGCGUAAACGUGGAGCGACGAACGUACGAUCUCGGUGGGGGAAGCGCGAAGAAGGAAGAAGAGGACAGAGGCGGUGCCACGAAGCACACGAGCAGGCUCACCCAGGAGUGGCUCGAGGAAGCGAGGAAGGUGGUUGCCGGAUCGCCUCCGAGGCCUGGUUCCCCGGCCAGGUUCCUUGGAUCGCCCAGAUUUGCUGCGGAGGAGGCGACGGAAUCCUCGCCGUUGGUUGAUCGCAGGGAUCCAUUGUCAAGAUCGGCAAGGAGGUAUAUAAUAUAUCUGACUGCAUGAGAGGACCAUGAUCUUGCGCGCACGAUUAUUAAAGCAACUUAAUAUUACGAAUUAUAUAAAUAUCAUAAAUGAUAAAUUAUCAUGCCGUGGAUGAAUUUUCUAACUUAUCGAUGCAUAUUUAAACGAUAAUCACCAAUCACUCAAAUUAGUCACGAACGAUUUAUUUGGUAUCAAAAUUAUAGAUGUUUUAAUUCAUUCUUUUGUUAUCUUUGUUUAUUUUUCUCUUAAUAAUUAGUUAUGUUUAAAAAAUUAAGAUGCAUUAAAAUCUUUAUAUCUAUAAAUCGUCUAAUGAAACCUUUUCUUAUUGUCGAAUUAUUAUUGAAUGCCCAAUUUCUGAAUUGUGACGACAUCUGAUGAUCGGAAACAUUAGAUUCAAUUUCGAAUGAUACCGUUGGUUUUGUUUUUGUUUUUGUUUUAAAAAACAUCUUUACUAAACGAUGUAACCGAAUAUAUCUUAAAACAAAACGAAAACAACAGGAUGCCAAAACGUUGCAAGUGAUGUUUCAGGCACAGGUCGUUCGACGGCAUCAGCGACGAGAUCCUACGGCGAUCCUCUUCCCGCGUCGGCCGAACCACUUCGUCCGAGUCCCUCCUCCCGCCCAGCGAGACCCACUCCGCCGCAACCGGCGACCCUCACCCCGCCUCCGACGGGGGUGGCCGCCCGCCUCCGCAAUCGCUCCCGCCGAAGCAACCGUACCACCGGACGUCCCGCUUCCGCGAGGAAACCCCCUCCGAACCUCUUUCCCCCGCCGCAACUUCUCGGCGGACUUUCCGCAGCCGCUCCCCUGCUCCGCCUCCGGCUGAGGCCGAAGAGGACGCUGCUCAGCGGCAGCCUCUGCUGUCGCCGCCGCGGAAUUUGGUGGAGUCGGCUUUUCGGAGGUCGGUGUCCUCGAUCACUUGCUCGCUGGAGACGCUCACUGGGCUGGAGAAAGAAAAGGGGUCCGACCGUAGGAAAGCCAUCUCCUCCUCGUUGAAGGCCUGCAACCGGCUGCCGGAGUCGUCGCCGCCUGAAAACAUGAGGCAGAUCAAUGCGUUCCUUAGGAGGCAGAGGAAGAUGAUCGGGAGGAUCUCCCGCGGCGAAGCGUCGGCCAAGGCGAAGAUCAUACUCUCUGGAUCGUCUAACAGUUCCGAGUUCUUGAUCGGAUUGUAGCUUCCCUCCAUUUCUUCAAAAUGCCUAAUUUCUCUGACUAUCGUCUGUUUUCUUUGAUAGGCACGACGAGUUCGAUGGUGGCAGCCAUAUGUUAUGCGUGGUUAUUAUGGAAUAGGGAGGAGAAGGAGGUGGUGGUCGUGCCGGUGGAGAACAUGGAGAGGAGGAGGAUGACCAAUCACAAGCAAGCUGCUUGGCUCUUUUACCAUGUUGGAAUUGAUGCUUCGGCAUUGCUCUUUGCCGAUGAGGUAUGAACUCCUGUGCACUGAGUGGUUUGCUUAGCAUUCCAUCAAUAUCUUGUUUUACUUGCUGCAAGCUGGUUAUUCUGUACUUAAUAUACAUGCUAGACUAACAAGAAGUUAAAUCUGCAUCCCCUUUUUCAUCGACUUCAAAGAGCUUUUGGUCUAUGCACAUAAUGCUUAAAAAAAAAAAAAAAGAUAACCUUGUUAAAAUGAUGACCGUGAUAUUCACAUUUCAUGUUGGAUUAGAACAACAAUGAUGACAAGUCGUGGUGUUUCAACUAUUUGGGGUUGGCACAUUUAAUGUUGGAUUGCUUAUUUGAAAUGUAAAACAUCAUAUUGGCAGACUACAUUAUUAGAUGGUGAGUCUUCUGUUUCAGUGUUCAUGAUGUUUUGAAUUUUUGGAAUGCUUUGAACCUGUAUUAUGAAGAACAUAAAGGAGUAAUAUUAGACAAAUUCUGCUUGGUGUUUUUAUGAUACUGACAGUUCUGCAUGCACAUGGACUAUGUUACUCAUUAAUCAAAUCAAUUAUCAGCUGUUUGAUACCCAGUUGUCCUGUUGAAAUAAUGGGGUAUUACACAUCCUUUCACAACCUUUAUAUGUUCCAUUAGCAACAAUCACUGUGCUUAUCCAUAUGGAGACAGGCCUCGAGUCAGUUUUAUCACCUCAAAAUAAAUCAUGGGGACUUCAAUUGAAGAUAAUUUCCUCCAAAAGCUACAAUAUUUAUAAUAUGUAGAAACCAAGAGUCAUGUAAUUUGGAUAUGUUUUGUGCAUUAUUCUCAUUAGCACAAAACAAAUGGUGUAAAGAACAUUCAUUCACGCAACAAUAAUUUCAGUUUUUAGCCACUUUAAAGGAACAGAUCAUAGGCUAAAUAUUGUUCGAUAAAUCCAUGAAAAAACUCACCUUGUCUUGACACUUGUGGCUUGUGUAUUAAACUAUACUAUUAAAGCUACUUAUAUGGGCUUCUAUAAUAUUCAUAUGUUCCAGCUUUUGAAAAAAAUGAAUUUUUACUUCUAGGCCUUUCAAACUUCAAGAUAAUGUUUUAACAGAAUUGAUUUUCAGUUUGGACUCUCCAUAAUUGAUAUUGAGGUGAUAGGAUUGAGGCGUCCGGAUAGUAUUCUAGCUCAUCUCUCUCUCUCUCUCUCUCUGUGUUCAUUUAUAUAAUGGAACUGUAAAGGUUUUUUACUCUCAAUAUCUCAUUUUGUAUAGUUCUUCCUAUCAAAUAGAAAUAUGAAAUGUUGAAAUGAAAGAUGUAUCUUAAUCUUGCAGCUUGUUAUAAGUCAUUUAUACUUUUUUCUUGUUCCAUGUCUUACGUCAGGUAGAUCUGGAGAAUCUUUUGAUGGCCAACAAACUAGCCAUGCUUGUCAUCGGGCAGGAUGUGCUGAAAACUAACAAUGAGGUGAUUAUUCACUGUUCAAUCUUUCAAGCACAAACAGUUCUAUACAUGCUCCAGUUCUGUUGUAUAGGUGGGUUCUCUGUGCACAAUUCUCACAGACAACUAUUGUGAAGAAGCCUAUGAUCUACUUCAGAAUCCUAACUUGAAAAAGCUUUUGGUAUGAAACUUGAAAUCUAUGAUUUUACUAAUCGGUUCUUCGUUAACUCUGUACUCUCUAUGAAGAAAUAUGUUGUUCCAGCUUGCAGGUAUUCUCUUAGAUACACAAAAUCUUGAUGAUACUGCUCAGUUUGUUACAAAGAGAGAUGAAGAGGCAGUACGGUUGCUAUCAGUCGGUUUUGCUCCCAACUACAGACAAGAAUUUUUUUCUCAAUGUAAUUUUCUGUUCUUCAUAAUAACUUCAGUCUAACUAGGCAAUCCUCUUCGUAUGUGUUGUUUGCUAUUAUCUUAUAUUCUGUUUGCAACUAGUGAUGCAAGAAAACAAGGAGAAUUUAUUUCUUGAAGCUCUGAAGAACAAUUAUGGGAUGCUUUCUUGUGAGAGUAAGUUGUAUAACAAAAUGACAUUUUAGAGUCACGAGAGAAAAUUUCAAAUGGAGAAUAUAUCAUUGUCACUAAGCUUUACUGAACGUGGAAUAUGUUGGUUGCAGCAAAAGAGAAGUCACCACCGGUGCAAGCACCAAUUCCAGUGCCGCUUCCAGUGAAGGCACCAGAAACAAAUUCUCGUGGGAAGAGCAAGUUCUUUUUGGCAAAGUGGUUUGGUUUUGGUUCAAAAUGAUUUAAACUUUCCAAUUUGUGCCUAUAUAAGUUGGGUGAGAAAGUUGAUCUCUUGAUAUUUAGACUGAUUACAUUCAUUUUAUAAUAGAUACAUGGGACUGACUGUUGUUGUAGUUUGAAAACAUGCUUUUGGAAGAUGUCUGCACCAGUGCAUCAUAUGAUCUUGAGGAGGCAGAGCUCAACAUAGCCACUUGUCGAGUCAUAUUUUCUGUUAUACAAUUAUCUUUAUUUCCUUUUUUUUUUUCAACGAGUAAAAAAAUAGAGCAGACUCCAUUGUCACAAGUCCACUAUUGUAUUGGGAUAAAACUUGCCUCCUCGAUAUUAUAUGAAGGGAAAUAAUCUUGUGAUCCUCAGGUAGAGAAUAUGAUGUUUUCUUCUUGUAUGUUAAUAUUUAAUGCAUUAAAUACGAUCGACUAUUCUCAAAAUAAGUAGGACAUAACUUCAUGUUAUUGGGUUUAUCUUAAAGACAUUGGCUAGUGUAAUUUGGAGUAACUUGGUUGAAUUGCAAGACACAGGAGUUAGUACUUUCUUCAUAAAUGUGUUUAUCUUGUGUGCAUCUGCAACGUUGAAAAUUUGGCCUGAUUCUUUCAUUCACUGGGCGUUCCAGUUUUGUUAAUUCCAUAAUUGAGUUUUGAAUCCUUGUGCAGGUGGCACCCCUUUUACCCUCAACAACAUGAGAUCUUUAACUAAUAGCUAAAUUGAUCUUUAUUUAAAAGCGUAAGAACAUAGAUCAGUAGUAUCGUAUCAUCAUGGCUGGCUUACGAGCACAGUAGAGAAGUAUAGGUUGAAGGUGCCAAACCAUGGUAGAGCCAUUCUUUGAAAGCGUUCUCAGGCAGCUUUGACGGUCGUGAGGUGCUUGCGCUUGAUGAAUUCUCCGGCUUCCGAGUCGACGUCCUCCUCCUCCUCGUAGGUCGUCUUCUCGCACACUCGAUAUGCGCCCUUGUCGUCCUCGAACCUCUCCAGGUGCAUUGCCUUACCAAAACGCCCGGCCGGGCACCUCUCCUCUUCCUCGUACCUUUCCUUGUGCUUGUAAAUGGCAUGGAGGUUGGGAAAGUGAGGCCCUUCGAUCAUGCUCGUCGUCUUCUCGAUCCUGGUGACGUAGGUGACGUAGUCGUCGCCAUGGAGCUUCGCCUGGUCUCGCUGUGGGCAGUUCCGAUGAGUCGCCAUGAACGAUGUUUCCUUCACAGGCACCACCGAUAGCUUCUUUGCCUGGAAAUGGCUUAAUGGCGAGCUCCUCUCAUGGCUCUUCCUUUUAUAGACGCG